This 66469-nucleotide long non-coding RNA is filed under the name Panax ginseng (ginseng). Its description in RNAcentral is "long non-coding RNA (PGIN_LNC000844)". The record is from RNAcentral. Lineage: Eukaryota; Viridiplantae; Streptophyta; Magnoliopsida; Apiales; Araliaceae.
CCUGAACAAAGCUUGCCCGAAGGACUUCUAUCCUCUACCUCACAUUGAUUAACUUAUCGAUGCGACUUCGGGGUAUGCACUACUAAGAUUUAUGGAUGCUUUUUCAGGUUAUCAUCAAAUUUCUAUGUGCAAAGAGGAUAUUCUGAAGACAACUUUCAUCAUGCAUCGUUCGAUGUACGCUUACAAGAAAAUGACAUUUGGCUUAAUCAAUGCUGGAGCCACUUAUCAAAGAAUAAUGACUUUGUCUUUCAAAAGCAGCUAGGAAGGAAUAUGGAGGUAUAUGUGGAUGACAUGAUAGUGAAAAGCAUGAUCGUUCAGAAGCACUUGGAUGAUCUUGAGGAAUGCUUUCAGACGGUUCGUCAUCACAAAUUAAGGCUUAAUCCCACCAAAUGCACUUUCAAACUCGGUGCAGGGAAAUUCUUAGGUUAUCUGGUCAGUCAGAGAGGCAUUGAGGCCAAUCCAGAGAAGAUCCAGGCUAUUCUGAACAUGAAGACUCCUCAGUCAUUCAAAGAUAUUCAGCGUCUGACAGGGAGGAUUGCAUCUUUGAGGAGGUUCAUGUCCAAGUCAGCAGAGAGGUGUUUGCCGUUCUUUAGCACGUUGAAAGGAUCGAAGAAUGCCAAGACGUUCCAAUGGAAUUCAGAAUAUGAAGAUGCUUUCCAAGGCAUAAAGACGCAUUUGUCUUCGGCACCUUUGCUGGUGAAGCCAGUUCCUGCUGAACCACUGUAUCUGUAUCUGGCAGCUAGUUCGUUGGCGGUGGGAGCAGUGCUGGUUCGAGAAGUUGGGGGGAAGUAGCAUCCAGUUUACUAUGUCAGUCAUGUUCUAAGGGAUGCUGAAACCAGGUACCCAAAUAUUGAAAAUUUUGCCUUUGCUUUGAUAAUAGCCAGUCGAAAGCUUAGGCAAUAUUUUCAAGGUCGAUUCUUGGUCGUUUACACGGAUCAACCGCUGAAGAAGGUGAUGAGCAAACCAGAAGUUUUGGGGAGAUUGGUUGCAUGGACAAUGAAAUUGUCCCAAUUUUUCAUCGAAUUUCAUCCCCGAACAGCUAUAAAGGGGAAAGCCUUGGCUGAUUUUAUGGUGGAGUGUUCAUUUUCCGAAGCUGAUGCAGAGUUGCCAAAGGCUGAAGUGUCCGACCGAGCAGUUGUAGUUCUUCAGCACAACCAGAGUUCGUGGACGCUGUAUGCAGAUGGAUCUUCAACUACGGAUGUCAGUGGAGCAGGGAUUAUCUUGACAAGUUCGGAGGGAUUCAAGGUGCAGCAGGCCAUCAGAUUUGGGUUCAGAGCAACGAACAACGAGGCAGAGUACGAAGCAGUGCUAGCGGGAGUUCGACUGGCGAAGAGUCUCGAAGUUCAGAAGUUGAUCAUCUAAAAUGACUCUCAGUUGGUCGUCAAGCUGGUUUCAGGGGAGUAUGAAGCUCGAGGUUCAAGGAUGAUCAAGUAUUUGGCCGAGUUGAAGGAUCGACUUCAAUAUUUUCUCUCCUAUGAGUUUCAGGGUGUAGAUCACAAUGACAAUUCUAUUUCCGAUGCAUUGUUGAAGUUGGAUACUACAGAUGCCAACAAUUUUGAUGGGUCAGUUUAUUUGGAGGUUCUGCAACAGCUGAGUAUUCAGCAUGAAGCCGUGAUGUGCAUUGAACGUUCUAACUGUUGGAUGACUCCCUAUAUAGAAUAUCUGGCAGAUGGCAUCCUUCCUUCGGAUCAGAUGCUAGCAAAGAAGAUCAAGUAUAAGAGCGCUAAUUUUGUUCUCAUUGAUGGAGAUCUUUAUCGAAGGGCUUUUUCAUCACCUUUGUUGAAGUGUCUAGUUCUAUCUGAAGCCGAAUAUGCUCUUCGAGAGGUUUACGAGGGCAUCUAUGGCGACCAUAUGGCUGCUAAGUCAUUAGCCUUCAAAGUACUUCGACAGGGAUUCUACUGGCCUACUAUCUUCAAGGAAGCUACAGAGUACGUGAAGAAGUAUGAAAAGUGUCAGCUCAAUAGCCCAAUCCCGCAUCAGCCACCAGAAGAGCUAUACUCGAUCUUAUCUCCUAUACCCUUUGCUGUCUGGGGGGGUAGAUAUACUGGGUCCAUUGUUGAAAGAUAAGGGUCGGGUCAGUUUUGUUAUAGUCGCUAUUAAUUAUAUGACCAAAUGGGUAGAAGCGAAGCCACUUAGGUUGAUAACGGAACAAGAGUGCUUGAAGUUCAUGGAGGAGUCAGUAGUGUUUCAUUUCGGAAUUCCUAAGGUGGUGAUAUCGGACAACGGAUGCCAAUUUGUGGGAUCGAAGUUUGAAGGAUUUCUGAAGGAGUUGGGAAUUCAACAUAGAAAGACUUCGGUGGCUCAUCCACAGUCGAACGGGCAGGUCGAGGUGACCAACAGAACGCUGCUGAAUGGGAUCAAGCGCAGACUGGAUGAAGCUAAGGGGAGAUGGCCUGAAGAGCUUCUCAGCGUGUUGUGGGCUUAUCGAACUACUCCGAGGACCACUACAGGGGAUUCACCUUUCAGACUGGCCUAUGGUACUGAUGCCUUAGUCCCAGUUGAAAUUGGAUCUCCAAGUCUUCGGGUUAGUUAGUUCAAGGAGAUCUACAAUGAUGAAGGACUGAAAGUCAACAUGGAUCUGUUGGAAGAAGUCAGAGAGACAGCUUUGAUCAGAUUGGUAACCUAUCAGCGAAGAGUGGCUAAACAUUACAAUAAGGGGGUAAAACUUCAUAGAUUUGAAGUGGGAGAUUUUGUCCUCGGGGAAGUCGAAGCUUCUACACCUCAGAACUUGGAAAAGCUGAUGCCGAACUGGGAAGGACCGUAUGAAGUAGUUGAAGUUCCGAAGCCAGGAACUUAUCGGUUAAGGGCAUUGGACGGAUCCGAGAUCAAGAACACUUGGCAUGCUGGUAGAGUUCAGAAGUAUUUUCAGUAAAGAUCGAGUCAGUAUCCCGGAAGUCUGUAAAUGUUGGAUCAUCAUCAAUAAAAUAUUCACUUUUUCACAAUUGAUCUUCUUCCUAUUGGUUCUAAAUUCACAAUGGUGUAAAGAGGACGGGGUGGACUCGCUGACCAUUCGAUGGUAGCCUUUUUGGCAGGUGUUCCUUAUAAAUUUGUCAGGCCCUUCGUGGUAGGCAAACUUCAUCGGUGUAAGAAGGACGAGGUGGACUCGCUGACGAUUCGAUGGUAGCCUUAUCGGCAAGAGUGUUCUCAUGGGUUUGUUAUACCCUACGUGGUAGACAAAUUCCAUAGUCCUUUUAUGAUUUGUUUUACACCCCGAGUGGUAAACAAAUGCACCGAAGUAAGGAGGUUCGGUUGGACUCGCUGACCAUUCGAUGGUAGCCCUAUUGUUAGGUGUGUCCUAUUGAAUUUGUUCUACCCCGAGUGGUAAAUAGAUGUCCUUAUAUACUUGUUUCACCCCGAGUGAUAAACAAGAUCCUGAUGGUGCAAGGAGGAUCAGCCGAAUUCACCUUAUGCCUAAUCUGUCUCACACUUCGGUAACGAUAAGUAUGCAUUAUUUUAUUUUGUUCAAGUGUUGAGUUCGGUUCAUUAUGUCCGGUAUAUGAUAUUCUUUAACUUAAUUGAUUAUAUGAUCUGUUUGCUUACCUGGUUCACAAAUUUAAGUUAAGUUCAAACGCAUCUUAUACAGUUUUGAAGUUGAUUGAUGCUGAAUUAUUGACAAGAAAUGAACUAUACUGAAGUCAUAAGGAGUAAAGUUAACUAUUCAUUAAUACUUAACCGAUUACAUCAAAAAGGAUGAAAAUUCUUUACAAGAUAAACUUAAAUCUAGGAAGAAGUGAUAAACUAUUUCAGGCAUCAUCCUCGCCUUCAGAAGAGUACAGAAGAGCUGGGUCUAGAUGGGCUACAAUCAACUUUUCCUUGCCCCGACCUCUGCAAACUUCAUAACCCUCAGAAUAUACCUUUAGAACUUCUGCAUUCAGCUCAUCGGACUUCCGAUAUUCUUCUUGGAUUUGUUUACGCAGUUCUUCGGUCAGAGGAGGGCUUAACUCCUCUAAUGCCUUUAGUUUAUCUUGAAGCUUGCGACGUCUGGCCAAGUGUCUUUCUUUAUCAUCUCGAGCCUUCUCCUGGAGUUCAUCAACUCGUUUGGCCAAACUCAGAUUGGUUGUAGCCAUUUUUUCAUUUUUUGUCUUCAGAACCUCGUUCUUUUCAACAAGAUUGAUGUUCAUAUUGGUCAGAUCUUGUUGGCUGGCCUUAGUUGUCUUCAGCUCUUCUGUGAACGAGUUCAGUUCUUCCUUGGACGAUUUAAGCUCUUCCUUGGUCUGAGUUAAAUCCUUUUGAAGGCAUUCAUUGUUGAAGAGAGAAAUAUCACAGUCAUGUCUUGCCUUCGCCAUCGCAGACUGUAAUAUUACAUUCUCUUUUCUAGCCGCUUCUUCUGCGGCUUCGGAUUCAAGAUGUUUAGGGCGUAAACGCCCAAAAAUAGCAUUGGCCUGUACAUGUUCAGAAUUAUUUAAUCAAUCUCAGAUAUCUAACCUAAGCAUGAAAAGGAGUAUGAAGAUUGGGGAAGAUCUUUACCUGCGCUAUAUAGCUCAUGCCUUCAUCAAGUAGAUCCCCGAUCGAGCUGUUGCCAAAUCGAUGAUCGUCGGUUUCCCGAACAAACGAAUUGAAGAGCUGGAAGGGAAAGUUGGCAUUAAAUCGGGGCCAUAGAGUUGGCGAUGCCAUUGCUUCAUUUUGGAACUCGUAGGAUGAAGGUCCUAGGGGAGUGGGUAUGGGUUGAUCACGAGGUGGUGAUGGAUCCAUAUAUACAUUCUCAGGAGAUGGAGAUCGAAUUGGAGUAGGUUCUCGAGGUGGUGAUGGAGCAGACGUUGAAUUUGGGUGACUAUCUGAGGGAUGUUUUCUCUUUCGAGACAAUGCUGGAACAGGUUCGACUUGCUCUUCAUCAUCAGAGACAUGUAUCUCCACAAGGACUACAGGAGUUGGAUUAGCUGAAGAUGAAGGCACUCGAAGUUCAUCGGUUGUCAGAGGGGUGACUUUGGUUCUUAAUUUUUUGACUCGAAGGAGUCGUUUCCGAUCGUCUACGGGUAGAUCGAGUAAACUCCCUCGGCCAGAGGUUGGAUUGGUAGUUGGUGCAGGUUCUGGGAUAGUUUCAAUUUCUGGGAUUGUUUCAGGUUCUAUUGGUGUUGGUUUGGAUCUAGGUUUUCGGAUACCUCUCUUUUUUCGGUGUGGUUGAAGGGAUUCUUCUAGGGGAAUGAGGUCAUCGGCUUCUGGCUCAUUUAUUUGAGGUUCAGAAGUAUGUGUUUCAAGGGUUGGAUUGUCUUCGGGUGCAGCUUCUAUCAGGGGAGUUUCAGCAGCUUCCGAAGAUUUUCCAGACAGAAAAUCUUUCAAGUCUUUCACAUCCGAGGAUGUUUGCUUAAUCAAAGACACUGCAAAAGUCAAAAAGUCAUAUGUCAGAAUCUACAUCACUUCAAAUUUCAAAUAAUUGCACAACAAAAUAAUUCAGAACUUACAUUUGUGUUCAUCCAACCAGGCUUGCUUAGUAAGAAGCAGGUAAUUCCAUUCCUUUGACGGGAAGUUCUCGAACAGUUCUAUCAUUUCACUCACAUGUUCCUCUGGGAUGUCACCAAAGUCGGCAGAAACUACGUCAUCAGUGGCCCAGUUCGGCAAGGAGGCAAUCUCUGGUCCCUUAAUGAAGAACCACCCUUUGUGUCAUCCUUUGUUGCUAGAUGGGGUGGAGACCAACGAGCGUCUGCCAAAUUUCUCUCCUAACUUCGGAGAUUGUUUACCCAUGACCUUAAACCCCUUUUCUCGGGAUUGGCUGACCUUGUAGAUAGUGAAGAAGAAAUCGAGAGUGGGCUCUACUCCAACUUCAUGACAGAAUGCGAUGAAGGCCAGAAUAUGGAUGUAGGAGUUCGGUACCAACUGGGCGAACCCAACGCCAAUAAACCCUAGGAGGGUUAUUAUGAAUACAUGAAGAGGGAAUCGAACCCCCUUCUCAAGGAUGGUCACAAGAAUGGUCGUCCAACCUUCUGGCCUUUGAUACAUUCUCUCGCCGGAUCUAGGGGCUCUUACCAUGUGGGUGUCCGGAAUAUGAUAUCGAGUUCGAAUCCUUUUCAGUUCAAUUUCAGUAACGGUUGAUGGAGUGUUAGCAUGAGCAUAGCGUUCUGUACUCCUAUAGAAUUCAGAGGGGGUAGGAGAGGUUUUUGGAGGUGGGUUCUUGCUUGGAUUUGCAGUUUUGGGGUUCGAACUCGAGGCUUCUUUGUUAGGGCUUGGGUUAGGCAGAACGGUGGUGAUUGGAGUCACAGAAGAGGUGAACCUUGCUCGAAAUCUUGAGAAGCCAUGGAUAUCGAGUUGCAGUAAGGAGAAGAGAGUUCGAAGGAGAAGACAAAGAACUCAAGGGUCAGAAAUUCAAAUUGACAGGUAAAACUAUCAAUUUAGGGGAAAUUAUCUUUUAUACUAACGGUUACACAGUACACGAGGGCAGCACAUUAAUUGACAGUCAUAAUCAUGAAUUUGGAGGGGUAGCGUCCAAGAGAAGUUUUGAUAUUUAACCGGUUUGGGUCUUUCAUUUGGGCUUUCGGUUUUAGUUCAUCUUCUUAUUUUAAUUCAUUUUCGUUUGGGCCUUAAUGAAUUUCGUUUUGGGGGUCUUUCAAUCCUAUUUGAUUCUUCAUAUCAUGGACCAUUUAUUUUUUUCUAUUAAACACCUUGUUUAAUAAAAAACUAGGGGGCAAUGUUGGGUCAUGAUAUUUCACCUACUGGGCCGAAUGGAUUGGGCCUACGUAUUUGGUUAUUCUCUUGGGUCAUUAUUAUUGGGCCUUGUUAUUAGACUAAUUCAUUGGAUUAUCUUGAUUGGGUCUUACAAAGUCUUGGGCCGAAUUAUUGAACCGACCCAUUAGAUAAUUUAAAUAUCUACAUCUUUGAGUUGCAAUGAUGGAAAAAGAUAACGGUUGGCCGAGAUCUCUGCCAUCCAUUAAUGUGGAUGGGAUUAUAGUCGGCCGACGGUGGUGAACAGUGAUAGUAUGUAGUGGGUGAGCUGCAUGCAGUCGGAUGAGACCGUUAGAUUCAGUGGAUAGACGUCAGAUAGCAGUAGAAGGCAUGGUUAACCGGGCAGGAGAGUAUAACAUAGCAAGGAAGUCAUCCAAGUAAAGGUAACUGAUAAUUUUAUCUUUCUCAAUACACUAGAUAUUUUAUCCUCCAUUGUUAGCCUUGUGAUCGCCUAUACUGACUCUUACGCCUGAGCUAUCCCCCGACGGUCGAAGCCGUCAAGAUUUUGGUGUUGAUCGUGUUUAUUGUGCAGGAUCAGGACGUCUUACGUUAUUGGGACAUAGCAGAAGAUCUUGGUAUUAACACUAAGUAUGUUUCGUACAUACGUUAAAACUAGUGCUAAGACACUUAUUCUCUUCUAUGAUAAUCAUGUGUUAGGUAUUUUUCUUUUCAUUGACGUUGAUGAAUUUCUGGUUUUGGAUUAAUUAAUUCUCAGGUUUAAUUGAUGCAUAAGUUUGAAAAAAGGUUAAUUUUGUCUAACAAAAACUUAAAAACAUCACAAGUAAUUAAAUUUUAGAGAGAGUGUGUGUAUAAAAGUUUUAGAGAGAGAAGUUAAAAGGAAGAUAUAAAAAAUAAAUUUAAAGUAAUUUAUUUAAUUGGACCAUAAUAAAUUAAUAAUGGUAAGCUUGAAAUUUGAAAUACGUGUUUACCUAUAUUUGACCCAUAACUAUAUAGUUUCAACCCACAUAAUUCAUAAUUAUAUAAUUCCAACCCACAUAAUCCAUAAUUAUAUAAUUUCAACCCACAUAAUUCAUAUUAAAAAUAAGUAAUAUGGUUUUAAUUCUUAAAUAGAAUCAUAACUAAAUUAUAUAAACCAAAAUUAACCCAUUACCAUACCUACGUAUAUAGAAAAUAAUAAUAUUGUGUAACUUAUUUGGAAUUCAUAAUGAGCUACCGCAACAGAAUUGAUCUUUCUGAAUGACCAAAUUACUACUCCCUUAAUGCCUUAAAUGUUGGCUUGAUGAGAAACCUUCAAUAGCCUUCCUAGUAUUAUGAAAAUUGGUAUGUGUAUAGAAUCAAGGGGGAUGACAUAGUUCUUUAUUUAUAAUAAUUCUGAUUAGCAAUCCUAGUGAAACUACUUAUCACAAUCUCAAAAUGUUAUUUAAAUAACUCAUACUGGUCAAUCUAUAACGCUCCCAAAAUAAGUAUACAUCAUCUAUUUUGAGUCGUCAAAUACAUGGUACAAAAUACAAAUACAAACUUAAUUAUAGAACAUGAGCUGAGAGUUUUUACACGAAUAUUGUCUUCUAGACAAUAUCUAAACUCAAAUGGAGUCCUCAUUAUAAUUAUUAUCACAUUAUUUCAUAGAAUAGUGAGUACUACUACAACACCAUCUCAAAUCAUUACUCCGUUCCCCGACAAGUCCCGGCUACGUUUUCAUUUCCUGAAGAGAACAAUGAAAGCAAAAGGGUGAGCUCAACUAGCCAGUAAGAAAUAUUAUGACUAAGUUAAUACAGAAUAAAUUAUCGUUAGCCUUCAACAGUGUUAAGCUGAUAAAAUACAAUAAACAUCAAGUUUAACUGCAGCGGAACAAGCAAUCCAUUAGAAGAGUAAAGUAGAGCAUGAUAUCUACUAUCUUCUAUGAUUUAAAAAGGUUAUCAUCAAUUUUAUCGUUGAGACUCAGCUUAAUAAAUAAUCCACAUCACUAAAUUAUCCAUGCACUACGGGCCAAUGAGGACUUUUACCACAUUAUAUGUAACAUUACGGUCAUGAUUAUACUGAAUAAUCCCUGGUCAUAAUCAUACUAAUCAACAGUACAUCUAUGCACUACGACCAAAGAUGACUUUCAUCACAAUAUAAGCAUGAGGAUGAUGACAAUGAUACAAGAAUUCAAUUAAAUAAAAGCAAAGAUAAAUUUUAAAGAUUUAUAAUUUAAUUUAUCCAGAAUUCAAUAGCGCCCAAAUUGUCAACAUGAUACUGCUUUGUGGAGUAAAUUAUUAUAUCAAAAAUAAUUUGGACAGAGAAGAAAUUAAUUUUUGUCAUGAAUAGUACCUGAGUGAAUAGUACCCCAUGAAUAGUACUUUAUAAAUAGUACUUCGGAAAUAGUACUUUAUGAAUAGUACCCCGUGAAUAGUAUUUUGUGAAUAGUACCUCGUGAAUAGUACUUUGUGAAUAGUGCCCUAUGAAUAGUACUUUGUGAAUAGUACCCCGUGAACAAUACUCCAACAUGAAAAGAUUAAAAAUUAUCAAAAAUGUUCAGAAAAAUAUCCUUCUGAAAUGAUACUAGAUGAAGCGCAAAUUUCAAGGAUAUUCUACUAAUUUCACGGAAUAUAGAAUCAAUACUUUAACAAAAUGAGUGUAGAAGUAGGUGUAAGACCCCAAAUUUUAUAAAUAAAAUUGAAUUUCCUCUAUUUAUUAUUUUGAAAUAAUAAGGUGUUAAUUUGAUAUAAUACUUUGGUUAUGGGUGAAAUGAACAAAUUUUGCAAAAUAAGCAAGUAGUUAUAAAAUAUUCAUUGUUGUCGGGGAAUAUUCGUUUGGUCGUGAAAUAUUCUUGUUGUCACGAAAUAUUCGUACGACGGCGCAGCCAUUUGUGGGCCCUAUAACGUAAAACGUUCAGAUGAAGACAAAUGAAUAUUUGGUUCAAGAUGUAUAUUGAUUGAUGUUUCAGGGAUAAAAUAUUGAUGAUGGACUUUAAAAUCAUAGAAGACAUUAGAUUUUAUUCUCUACUAAACUCUUCUAAUGAAUUGUUAUUUUCGCUGUGAAUAUUGAUCUAAAACUUGUUGUCCAUUAUAUUUUAUCUGAUUUGUUGAAGGCUAACGAUAAUUGUUGUUCAUUAUCUUAGUCAUAAUAUUCUUUACUGGGCUAGUUGAGCUCACCCUUUUCCUUUUUGUUCCAUUUUUUUCUCAGGAGGCGAGAAUAUAACGGGAACUAGUCGGGGUAUGGAAUGAUGGUUCUAGACAGUUAUUUUAGCAGUUCUCACUAUUUUUGUAAAAUAGUGUAUCAAUAAUUAUAAUGAGGACUUAUUUGAGUGUGGAUAUUGUCUAGAAGACAAUAUUUGUAUUUAAACUCACAGUAUAUGUGUUAUCAUAUUUUGCACGACAAUUGUAAUAAUAAAGUUGUAGUUGUUUUCUGUACCAUGUUUUUGGCGACCAAAGAUGGGUGAUGUAUACCUAUUUUGGGGGCGUCACAGUUGGUAUUAGAGCUUAGGGAUAUGGUCUCUGGCGGAGAUAGAACUAGGAGGGGAGAGACGAGUAAAUCCUUCGCUAGUGUGUCCUACCUAAGCUUAUUUGUUGGUUGGUCAGAAUAUAGGGGUAUUAUGUGGUAUGUUAUUUUCUUUAAUUAACCCUUGUUUUGUGGCAAUAUUUGAGAAUGGUAGCUGGAAAUGUUAACAACGGAGUAAAUGAGACCGUGGAGACACCUUUAAUCACCAACCAGGAGAACGUGCAACAGGACGACAAUGUUCCUCUUGUAAACAACACCACCGAUCAAAUGAUGAAUGAUGGAUGUUUAGAAGCUUUUUUGCAGUUCAUGCAAAAUCAGACGAGGGAGACUCGUGAACAAAAUACGGGUGAAAAUGAUAGCAACGCGCGGCUUGUCACAGCCAAGUAGUUCAAAGAGUUGGGACCACAAGAGUUUUUGGGAAAGCCAAAUCCGAUUAAGGCAAAAACGUGGGUUAAGAAAAUUUCAAGAUAUUUGAUGUCUUGGGAUUCAUAGAGGAAUAGAAGGUUCUAUUCUCCACCUUUAUGUUCCGUGGUUAGGCAGAUUACUGGUGGGAAUCUGUGAAGCAUACCCAGCCAGCCGCACUCAAUAUAUCUUGGGAAAUAUUUUAGAAACUGUUUAAUGACAAGUACUUUCCUGAAAGUAUUCGUCAUAUGAAGGAGGUAGAGUUUAUUAGACUGGAACAGAACAACAUGACUGUGUCCCAGUACGAGGCUAAUUUUGCGGAGUUAUCCAGGAUUGCACCUCAUUUGGUAGAGAAUGAGGAACGUAUGACGCGGAUGUUUUUAAGAGGGUUGAAACCCAAAAUUUAUCAGUACCUUAUUUCUCACAAAUUUUCUCUAUAUUCAGAUGUUGUUAACAAGGCUCAAUUAUUAGAGUGAGAUAAUGAGUAUGUUCAACCGAGGGCAGCAGUCAUCAGAGCAAUGAUAACCAGCGGGAAGGAAAAAAUACGGACAAAAGCGAUAACCACUCUGGUGGUAAUCAUGGCCAUGAUAGUAGAAGAAGCGAGUCGAGGGGAGAUUUCAAAAAGAGAAGGUACAACAAUGACAAUGUGAAGACGUCAGCAUCAACAUCAACUGUUUCUAGGGGAGGAGAACGACCACCGGUCGUAUGUUAUAAAUGCUGGAAAGAGGGACACAUCAGCCCAAACUGCCCACAACAAUUCAAGGUAUGUUAUAACUGUGGAAAGGAAGGUCAUAUAGCUCGAGAUUGUUCUAUAGAAAAACCAAGUCCAGCGAGGAUGGUGAUUCCAAAGGCUGUCCCGGACAAGUAAAAGUCAACGGUUCCUGAAAGAACGUUUGUCGUGACUGGCCAAAACGCGAGGAGCCCAAACGAGGUGAUCACGGGUAAGCUAAUUAUAAACUCUUGCGAAGUUAAUACCUUAUUAGAUACCAUUUCUACCCAUUCUUUUAUCUCUCUUUCUUGUGCUCAACGUUUGAACUUAACUCCGGAGAAAUUAGACUUUGACUUAUCUAUUGAGACUCCGUUAGGAGAAACUUUCAUUACACUCACUGUUUAUAAAUCUUUCUUGAUCCAAGUUAGCAUAAUCACAUUACCUGUUGAUCUUAUCUCUUUAAAGAUACUUGCAUUUGAUGUGAUUUUAGGAUUGAUUGGUUAAGAUCUCAUCAUGCUAAAAUUGAUUAUUUUCGUAAGGUUGUUAGUUUUCAUAUUCCUAACCAACCUGUUAUGCCAAUUCAAGCGACCAAACUGCUAAAUUUAAUCACUGUCAUAUCAAGCCAUAAAUCCAUUCGUUUAUUAAAAAAUGGAUGUCAAGCUUUCUUAGCCCAUGUCAUGGACUUGAACAAAAACACGUCAGAUUUGAAUAAUAUUUCUGUUGUUAGUGAAUUUCUUGACGUAUUUCCUGAAGAACUUCCUGGUCUACCCCCAGAACGUGAAGUUGAAUUCUUUAUUGACCUUGAACCUGGUACAAAACCCAUUUCUAAAACCCCAUAUAGAAUGGCUCCUAUUGAAUUUCAGGAGUUAAAGGUCUAACUACAGGAGUUGUUAGACAUCGGUUUCAUUCGUCCUAAUACAUCUCCUUGGGGUGCUUCUGUUUUAUUCAUAAAGAAGAAAGACGAGAGUAUGCGACUUUGUAUUGAUUACCGGGAAUUGAACCAUGUCACCAUCAAUAAUAGGUAUCCGCUAUCUCGCAUUGAUGACCUAUUCGACCAGUUGCAAGGAGCACAAUUCUUUUCAAAGAUCGAUCUUCGUUCUGGAUAUCAUCAGCUGAAGAUUAAAACUGAGGAUAUUCCGAAGACUGCCUUCAGAACUCGGUACGGGCAUUAUAAAUUCUUAGUCAUGUCUUUUGGAUUAACUAAUGCUUCUGCUGCUUUCAUGGAUAUGAUGAACCGUGUGUUCAAGGAAUAUUUGGAUUAGUUCGUUGUUAUCUUUAUUGAUGAUAUCCUCAUCUAUUCCAAAAGCCGUAAAGAUCAUGAGCACCAUUUGAAGCUGGUACUUCAAAGGUUUUGUGAAAAUAAGCUAUAUGCCAAGCUGAAGAAAUGCAACUUUUGGUUUGAGGAAGUAGCAUUCCUUGGGCAUGUGGUGUCAAAACAUGGAGUAUCUGUUGACCCGACGAAGAUUGAAGCAAUACAAAGUUGGGAACAACCGAAGUCGGUGACCGAAGUACGUAGCUUUCUGGGCUUAGCCGGUUAUUAUCUUAGAUUUAUGGAAGGAUUUUCUCGAAUUGCUACUCCGUUAACUCAGCUGACUCAGAAAGAUACAAAAUUCGUAUGGAGUGAGGAAUGCGAGAAGAGUUUCCAAGAGCUCAAGAGGAGACUCAUUUCGGCACUUGUUCUAUAAAUACCAUCUAGUUCGGAUGGAUUUGUUAUCUACAGUGAUGCUUCAGGCAAAGGGUUAGGAUGUAUUCUCAUGCAACAUGGGAAAGUUACAGCCUAUGCCUCGCAACAACUCAAAGAAUAUGAGAGGAAUUAUCCUACUCAUGAUCUGGAGUUGGCAGCAAUCGUUUUCUAGUUGAAAAUUUGGAGACACUACUUGUAUGGGGAGAAAGUGGAGAUUUAUACGGAUCAUAAAAACCUCAAAUAUUUUUUCACCCAAAAGGAACUCAACAUGCGACAACGACGUUGGCUCGAGCUAUUGAAAGAUUAUGACCAUACCAUUCAAUAUCAUCCUGGAAAAGUAAACGUGGUAGCUGACGUAUUGAGUAAAAGAUCGUUUACGGGUACGAGUGCGAUGUUUUUAACACAAAGACCCAUUUUGUAAGACUUACAAAGGAUGGGGAUAGAGUUAAAGGCUCCAAGUGCCCAUAUGAUGAUAUCAAACAUAUGAGUAGAACUGACUUUAAUCGAUAAAGUUAAAGCUGCUUAAGCCACAGACCCAGAGUUGAUGCUUAUGAAGAAGAAAGUACAAGAAGGUGUUAUUCUAGAAGCAAUAAUCGAUGAAGAAAGAAUACUUUGAGUCAACUCCAGACUUUUCAUUCUUAACGAUUCUGACUUAAAGCAUAGAAUCAUGAUGGAGGCACACAACACACCAUUUUCAAUCCAUCGUGGGAGUACCAAAAUGUAUCAUGAUCUUCGAUAUACAUUUUGGUGGAACAAUAUGAAGAGAGAUAUCGCGGAGUUUAUCUCGAGGUGUUUAACUUGUCAACAUGUAAAGGCGGAGCAUCAAGUGUCAAAGGGUCCAUUGCAACCACUUGAGAUUCUGAAAUAGAAGUGGGAACACAUUACCAUGGAUUUCGUAAUGGAUCUUCCCAAGGUUUCUCAAGGCAUAAAUGUGAUUUGGGUUAUUGUUGAUAGAUUAACCAAGUCUGCUCAUUUCUUGCCGAUACGGGAGACUUAUUCCCUUGAACGUCUUGCUCGUAUGUACGAGAAUGAGAUUGUGAGAUUGCAUGGCAUGACAGUAUCCAUAGUUUCGGAUCGUGACCCAAGAUUCACUUCAAGAUUUUGGGUUAGCUUGUAGAAAGCUAUGGGCACGGAUUUACGAUUCAGUUUGGCAUACCAUCCUCAAACGGACGGGCAAUCGGAAAGGACUAUUCAAACUCUUGAAGAUCUAUUAAGACUCUGUGUCCUAGAUUUAAAAGGAAGUUGGGAUAAAUACUUGUCAUUAGUGGAAUUCUCCUACAACAACAGUUAUCAAACAAGUAUAGACAUGGCUCCAUUUGAGGUGUUGUACGGACGAAAGUGUCGUUCUCCAGUAUGCUAGGACGAGGUGGGUGAAGCAAGGUUGUUGGGACCAGAAUUGGUACGCAUGACUACAGAAAAGAUCCAAACGAUUCGACAACGUAUACAAAUGACACAGGAUCGACAAAAGAGUUAUGCGGAUCUUCAUCGAAAGGACGUUGAAUUUAAUAUUAGGGAUCAUGUAUUGUUAUGUAUUGCUCCAUGGAAGGAAGUUACAAGAUUUGGGAAGAGAAGAAAGCUCAAUCCAUGAUUUGUUGGUCCAUUUGAGAUUCUUGACCGAAUAAGAAAUGUGGCCUAUAGACUCGUAUUACCUCCAAGCAUGUCUCGUGUUUAUAAUGUUUUUCACAUAUCUAUGCUUCAUAAAUAUGUGAAAGACCCAAACCACAUUAUUGAGUUAGAACCAGACGAGAUAGCCGAAGAUUUAACGUACGAGGAGGUACCUGUCAAGAUCUUAGAUAGGAAAGAGCAUGUCUUACGCACAAAGAUUAUACCAAAAGUCAAAGUUUUAUGGAGGAACCAUGCUAUUGAGGAAAUGACUUGGGAGUUGGAAUCAGAAAUGAAAGUGAGGUAACCUCACCUUUUCGAAACACCAGGUACAUACGUCAAUUUCGAGGACAAAAUUUUAUAAUGAGGGGAGGUUGUAAGACCCCAACUUUUAUAAAUAAAAUUGAAUUUUCUCUUUUCAUUAUUUUGAAAUAAUAAGGUGUUAAUUUGAUAUAAUUCUUUGGUUAUGAGUAAAAUGUGCAAAUUUUGUAAAAUAAGCAAGUGGUUAUAAAAUAUUCAUUGUUGUCGGGGAAUAUUCGUUUGGUUGUAGAAUAUUCUUGUUGUCGGGGAAUAUUCGUACGACGAUGAAUCCAUUUGUGGGCCCCAUAAUGGAAAACAGUCGGAUGAAGAAAACAACAAAUUUGAGUUUUUAUAAAUAAUGGCGUAGUUGUUACCAUUAACACUGUUGGAAUACCUGAUGGUUAAAGUACAGUAAUACGCGUGGUUGCACAGUAGCACACGGUAUUGCACAGUAUUUUUGGAUUAUUGAUUCUUACAUAAGAAGGCACUACUCAAUAAUUUUUACAGUAAUUACUGUUCAAUAUUUUAUUUUAUUGAUUCAUUAAUUAUUAAGUUGAUAUUUUAUAUUAUUGUUAAUUCAAUAAUUGUCACUGCAUAGUAUUUCCCAUUAUCAUAUCAAUAAUUUAUAUUAUUUGAAUAAUAUUAUUAGAUUUUAUUAUUGGCAAUGUCUAAGAAGUUCUAUCUAGGAAAGGGGUUUGGUCACCUAAUUGCGCGCCAGUAAGGAGAAAUCCUUAUCGGAAAGCCCCCUUCUUUCCUGGGAACGACCUGAUUGUCAUAAUUGUGAUUCUGUAAUAUUAUUUGUGAAUAAUUAAUUAUUGAUUUAUAUGAUAAGAAAAUAUUUAUUUUAUGUGGAUAUAAAUGAAGGAAUUAAUGCUGAGGUGUUUUAUCAGUAUUUUGUCAGAAUGAAGGUAUUAAAAAUCGUCCGUAUGUAAAUUUUGGUCAUUUUCUGCUUGGAAUUUGGAAAAAUUUUAUCCUACAAAGUUGUAGAGAAUUACAUUUCCUAUGGAAUGGACAUAAAAUUCGUAUUUUUCUAUGAAAAGGGCAAUUUAUUAUGAAUUAUUGAAGUUUUGGAAAUAAAUGUUUUUUAAUUAAAAAUAUGGGUGGGCCCUACUUUUGGUUGGUAUGAAAAUUCUGAAUUUGGUGGGCCCCACUGUGGUGUGCUGAUAUUUGAUCAAUUGUGGCGUGCGUGAAAAUUUUUGAUAAAAUAUUAUUUUAUUAAUUUAGUCUGCUUUGGCAUUCUAGCAUUUUCCUAUAACUAGGAUUCUUAGUUAGAAUUGAAAAUCACACCAGAAUCAGAAGUUUUCUUUCUCUAUAAUAUCGAGAGUAUUUUUGUGAGUAUUUAGAUACUUUGAGAGUUGCUAUUCAGUGCAAGUUCCUUCAGCAUUAUAUCUGAUAUUUCAGCUAGAAGUGCUAUUCUUUUGAGGUAAGGGAUAUUAUUUUCUUCGUAAAUGAUGUUAUUUCUUUCAAUAUCAUUAUACUGAAAUAUUAGUAUGAAUUUUAUUAUGAAAUUUUUACCUUUUCAUGUUGAGGUUACUAUUCACGAAUACGACACUAUUCACGUAUACGACAUUAUUUACAAAUACGAUACUAUUCACCAAAAAAUGAAAUUUUUUCUUCUUUGUCCCAGAUGGCUAUUAUGGUUACUAUCUUUGAUUGUAUCCAUGUUUUGAUCUUUAUUAUUGAAUUUUUCUCCACUAUGGUUUAUUAUGGAGUAUUUUUGAAUUUGGAUUAUCUAAAGUACGAAUCCCUAAUCUUUGUCCGUUAUUCUCAAUGGAUUCGUUCUUUAAAAUAUUUUUCAUCAUCCUCAGUCUUUAAUGGUGAUACUUGAUGAAUAUCUUUGGCCUGUAGUACAAAGAUGAAUGAUUACCUAAUGAAUAUAUUUGACCCAUAGUGCAAAGAUGGACAGGUGUUGAGAUGAACAUGACCAACUGUUGAUACAAAUGAAUAUCUUUGGCCCGUAAAACAAAGAUGAAUAUUUGGUUCAAGAUGUAUAUUGAUUGAUGUUACAGGGAUAAAAUAUUGAUGAUAAACUUUUAAAUCAUAGAAGACAUUAGAUUUUAUUCUCUACUAAACUCUUCUAAUGAAUUGUUAUUUCCGCUGCGAAUAUUGAUCUAAAACUUAUUGUCCAUUAUAUUUUAUCUGAUUUAUUGAAGGCUAACAAUAAUUUAUUGUUCAUUAUCUUAGUCAUAAUAUUCUUUACCGGGCUAGUUGAGCUCACUAUUUUCCUUUUUGUUUCAUUUUUCUUCUCAGGAGGCGAGAAUAUAGCGGGAACUAGUCGGGGUAUAGAAUGAUGGUUCUAGACAGUUGUUUUAGCAUUCCUCACUAUUUUUGUAAAAUAGUGAAUCAAUAAUUAUAAUGAGGACUUAUUUGAGUGUGGAUAUUAUCUAGAAGACAAUAUUUUUAUUUAAACUCACAGUAUAUAUGUUAUCGUAUUUUGCACGACAAUUGUAAUAAUAAAGUUGUAGUUAUUUUCUAUACCAUAUUUUUGACGAUCCAAGAUGGGUGAUGUAUACCUAUUUUGGGGGCGUCACAGUAGGAAUACAAACCAAAUAAUAUUACUUACAUACUACAGAGUAUGGAAAAAAUAUUAUUUCAUACGAGUAUUGAACAAAAAUAUUAUCCCUUACCUUAGAAGAAGACUGUAUACUAGAAUAAUGAAGUAGCAGAAUACUCUUCUUCUUUCUCUCUAUAGUUUCUCUCUUUAUAAUUUCUCUUGUGAGUCUUAAUGAAUUGGUGAGAAUGAAAGAAGAAUGAGCUUCUAUUUAUAGGAAAACAUAGUUUCGAUAAUUGCACGUUUUGGGGCUCGAAUUAUUAUAGUAUAUUAUUACCUUCAUCUUUUCCUCCAUUUUAAAUUUAGUCCUACAAGUAUUAUCAAACUUGCACCACCUCCCCUAAUAGUACAUGAAUGUGAAUCAAUACUUCCAUUCAUGUGAAUAAAUAGUUAUAUGCAUGUAAACUAAUAGCAAUUAAUUGCUCAUUUAUCCGAUUAAUUACCCGAUUGGUCAAUUUAACCUCCAGAAAUCAAUUAUUAUCGAAAUAAAUGUUGAUUUCCACUAACACUAAUAAUCCCAACACAAUGGAAAUAUCAAUUUUAUCUUUAAUCAACGCAAACUUAUUCAUCUUUAAUAUUAUAACUCAUAGUAUCUAACAACCAGAUCAUUCCCAGGAAAGAGGGGGCUUUCCGAUAAAGAUUUCUCCCUAUUGGCGCACAAUUAGGUGACAAAACCCUUUUCCUCGACAGAACUUUCUAGACAUCGUCAAUAAUGCAAAUAAUAAUAUGAAUAACUUUUAUAUCUCAAUUAUUGAUUUAAUAAUAUAAAAUAUUAUGCAGAUGAUACUGUGACAAUAAUUGAAUCAAUAAUAUGAGAGAUAUUAUGCAGUAAUUAUUGUAGCAAUAAUUGAGUAUAACUGAGUGACUUCUCACGUAAGCAUUAAUAAUCAAAGAUAUUGUACAAUACCGUAUGCUACUAUGCAACCACGCGUAUUACUGUAAUUUUACCACCAGGUAUUUCAACAGUUAACGGUAAAAUUUUCGUCGUUAAUUUUAUAAAAAUAUAUUUCUGUCAUUUUCUAACUCCGACAAUACAUCCAUUAUAAGACCACAACUUUUAUAAAUAAAAUUGAAUUUCCUCUAUUCAUUAUUUUAAAAAAAUAAGAUGUUAAUUUGAUAUAAUGCUUUGGUUAUGGGUGAAAUGUGCAAAAAUUUCAAAAUAAGCAAGUGGUUAUAAAAUAUUCAUUGUUGUCGGGGAAUAUUCGUUUGGUCAUGGAAUAUUCUUGUUGUCGGGGAAUAUUCGUUUGGUCAUGGAAUAUUCUUGUUGUCGGGGAAUAUUCGUACAACGGCGCAGCCAUUUGUGGGCCCCAUAACACAAAAACGGUCGGAUGAAGAAAAUGACAAGUUUGAGUUUUUAUAAAUUACGGGGUAGUUGUUACCGUUAACACUGUUGGAAUACCUGAUGGUUAAAGUACAGUAAUACGCGUGGUUGCACAGUAGCACAUGGUAUUGCACAGUAUUUUUGGAUUAUUGAUUCUUACGUAAGAAGGCACUACUCAAUAAUUGUUACAUUAAUCAUUGUUCAAUAUUUUAUUUUAUUGAUUCAAUAAUUGCUGCGUUGAUAUUUUAUAUUAUUGUUGUUUCAAUAAUUACCACUGCACAAUAUUUCCCAUUAUCAGAUCAAUAAUUCAUAUUAUUUGAAUAAUAUUAUUAGAUAACCUUAUUGGCAAUGUCUAAGGAAGUUCUGUCUAGAAAAGGGAUUUGGUCACCUAAUUGCGCGCCAGUAAGGAGAAAUCCUUAUCGGAAACCCCCUCUUUUCUGGAAACGACCUGGUUGUCAUUAUUGUGAUUCUGUAAUAUUAUUUGUGAAUAAUUAAUUAUUGAUUUAUAUGAUAAGGAAAUAUUUAUUUUAUGUGGUUAUAAAUGAAGGAAUUAAUGUUGAGGUAUUUUAUCAGUAUUUUGUCAGAAUGGAGGUAUUAACAAUCAUCUGUAUGUGGAUUUCAGUCAUUUUCUGUUUAGAAUUUGAAAAAACUUUCUUCUACAAAGUUGUAGAGAAUUAAAUUUCUUAUGGAAUGGACAUAAAAUUUAUAUUUUUCUGAUAAAGGGCUAUUUAUUAUGAAUUAAGUGGAAUGAAGAUAUCAAAUUGAUUUAGUUUUCGAAUUAAAUUUGAAUUCUUUUAUUUUUUUUUUCAAAAAACAUAUGUUAAUGGUGGGUGAGCAAAGGUUGGCUUUAAAAAGUCUUGUUUCAAAGUAGGUGGGCUACAAAUAAUGUGCGUAUGUAAAUUUUAUCAGUAAUGGUGGGCUGACAUUUCCCUAUAAAUAGGGUGCUUAGUUAGAAAUGAAAUCACACCAUAAUCAGAAGUUUUAUCUCUAUAAUAUCAAACGUAUUUUUGUGAUUAUUUAGAUAAUUUGAGAGUUGCUAUUCAGUGCAAGUUUUUUUCAACAUUAUAUCUGAUAUUCCAAUCAGAAGUACUGUUCUUUUGAGGUAAGGGAUUUUUUUUUUUUUUCAUAAAUGAUAUUAUUUCUUUCAAUAUCAUUAUACCAAAAUAUUGGUAUGAAUUCUUGUGGAAAUUUUACCUUUUCAUGUCUAGGCUACUAUUCACGUAUACGACACUAUUUACGUAUACGACACUAUUCACGAAUACGGUACUAUUCACAAGUACUAUUCACGAAGUAUGAUUUUUCUUGUGAAAUUUCUACCUUUUGGUGUCAGGGUUACUAUUCACGUACAACACUAUUCACGUAUACGACACUAUUCACGAAUAUGGCACUAUUUACUGAAAAAAUUAAAAUUUUUUUCUUUGUCCAAGUUGUCUAUUAUGGUUACUAUCUUUGAUUGUAUCCAUGUUUUGAUCUUCAUUCUUGAAUUUUGCUCCACAAUUAAUUAUUAUGGAGUAUUUUUGAACUUGGAUAAAGUAAAGUACGAAUCCCUAAUAUUUGAUCUUUUAUCUCACUGGAUUCGUUUUCUUUAAGAUAUUUUUCAUCAUCCUCAGUCCUAAAUGGUGAUAUAACUGAAUAUCUUUGGCCUGUAGUGCAUAGAUGAAUGAUUACCUGAUGAAUAUUUUUGGCGCGUAUUGCAAAGAUGGACAGGUGUUGAGAUGAACAUGACCAACUGAUGAAUAUCUUUGGCCUGUAGUGCAAAGAUGAAUAUUUGAUUCAAGAUGUAUAUUGUGACGCCCCCAAAAUAGGUAUACAUCACCUAUCUUGAGUCGCCAGAUACAUGGUACAUAAAUCAAAUACAAACUUAAUUAUACAACAGUCGUGUAAAAUACGACAAAACAUAGCUGAGAGUUUAAACAAGAAUAUUGUCAUCUAGAUAAUAUCCAUACUCAAUGGUGUCCUCAUUGCAAUUAUUAUCACAUUAUUCUGUAGAAUAGUGAAGACUACUAAAGCCAUUUAUCCUGGACCAUCACUCCAUUCCCCGACUCGUCCCAGCUAUAUUCUCAUUUCCUGAAGAGAACAAUGAAAGAAAGGGUGAGCUCAACUAGCCCAGUAAGAAAUAUUAUGACUAAGAUAAUGCAGAAUAAAUUAUCCUUAGCCUUCAACAGUAUAACAACUGAUAGAAUACAAUAGACAACAAGUUUUAGAUCAACAACUGCAGCGGAAAUAAGCAAUCCAUUAGAAGAGUCAAGUAGAGCAUAAAAUCUACUAUCUUCUAUGAUUUAAAAAGUUUUUCAUCAACUUUAUCGCUGAGACUCAGCUUAAUAAAUAAAAUCGAAUCAUCCCUGCACCACGGCCAAGGAUAUUCAUGUAAUCAUCAAUGGUCAUGAUUAUACCGAAUAAUCCCUGGUCAUAAUCAUACCAACAACUGUCCAUCAAUGAACUACAGGCCAAUGAGGACUUUUACCACAUCAUUCGUCACAUUACGGUCAUGAUUAUACCGAAUAAUCCCUGGUCAUAAUCAUACCAAGUCCAUCUAUGCACGUAAGCCAAAGAUGACUUUCAUCACAAUAUAAGCAUGAGGAUGAUGACAAUGACAUAAUAAUUCAAUAAAACAAGUUCAAGGAUAAAUUUUAAAGAUUUAUAAUUUAAUUUAUCCAGAAAUCAAUAACGCCCAAAUUGUCAACAUGAUACUGCUUUGUAGAGUAAAAUUCAAGAAUAAUAUUCAUGUACAAAAAAUAAUUUGGACAGAAAAGAAAUAUAUUUUUCGGGUGAAUAGUAUCCCGUGAAUAAUACUUUGGGAAUAGUACCUCAUGAAUAGUACCUCGACACGAAAAGUGUCCCGAAUACCCGAGUGAAUGAUACUAGAGUGAAUAGUAAUUGGGUUAAUAGUAACCCGCGUGAAUAGUAACUCGUGAAUAGUACUCCGGCACGAAAAGUACCUCGAAUAUCCGAGUGAAUAAUACCAGAGUUAAUAAUAACUGGGUGAAUAGUAACCCGUGAAUAGUAACUCAUAAAAAAAAUACCAAAGAAAAUGAUAUUCCAUGACGAGUACAAAAGAAAUGAUAUCUCAGACGAGUAUAAUAGAAUAUACGAAACUGCAAAUGGAUUUUCACCCGCCAUGCGGUAAUCCACGUAGACAGAUCAUUUCCACAAUUUAAUAAAGAAUGAAUACAAAGGAUCAUUCACUAUGCAUGCGGUAAUCCACAUAGAUAGAUUAUUCCAACAGAAUAAUAAAGAAUGGAAUAACAAAAGAAUUCACCAGGCAUGCGAUAGACCACACAGAUAGGUUAUUCCCAACAGAAUAAUAAAGAAUGGAACCAGGUCAUGCGUAAUCCGCACAGACAGGAUAUUCCAACAGAAUAAUAAAAAAUAGAAUAACAAUAGAAUUCACCAGGCAUGCGAUAGACCGCACAGACAGGUUAUUCCAACAGAAUAAUAAAGAAUAGAAUAACAGAAGAAUUACACCAUGUAUGUGGUACUUCGUAUAGACAGAUUAUUCCAACAACAUAAUAAAGAAUGGAAUAACAACCCUUAUGAGUAUUGGAAGAAAAUAACUCUCUUCAUGAAUACGAAAGAAUAAUACCCCUUACCUCAAAAGAAGACUGGAUACUGGAAUAGUGAGGUAGCAGACUUCUCUUCUUCUUUCUCUCUAUAAUUUCUCUCUAUAAUAAUUGCUCUAUAACUUUAGUGAAUUUGUUAGAAAUAAUGAAGGAAUGAGCUUCUAUUUAUAGGAAAAUAUAGUUUCGAUAAUUGCAUAUUUUGGGGCUCGAAAUAUUACAGUAUAAUACCUUCCUCUUUUUCUUCAUUUUUAAUUUAGUCCUGCAAGUAUUAUCAAACAUGCACCACCUCUCCUAAUAGUAAAUCAUGUGAAUCAAUAGUAAAGGAUGUGACUCAAUAGUUCUAUACAUGUGAAAAAAUGAAUUACAGUAUAAUACCUCCAUCUAUACCUCCAUUUUUAACUUAGUCAUGCAAGUAUUAUCAAUCUUGCAUCAACUCCCCUAAUAGUAAAUGGAUUUGAAUAAAUAGUACACACAUGUGAAUAAAUAGUUAUAAUCAUGUUAAUCAAUAGCAAUUAAUUGCUCAUUUAUCUGGUUAAUUACCCGAUUGGUCAAUAUAACCUCCAGACAUCAAUUAUUAUCGAAAUAAAUGUCGAUUUUCACUAACACUAAUAAUUCCAACACAAUGGAACUAUCAAUUUUAUCUUUAAUCAACACGAACUUAUUCAUCAUUAAUAUUAUAAUUCACAAUAUUUAACAACCAGGUCGUUCUUAGGAAAGAGGGGACUUUCCAAUAAGGAUUUCUCCUUAUUGGCGCGCAAUUAGGUGACCAAACCUCUCCUUGACAGAACUUCUAGACAUUGUCAAUAUUGUAAAUAAUAAUAUGAAUAACUUUGUCAUCUCAAUUAUUAAUUUAAUAAUAUAACAUAUUAUACAAAUGAUACAGUGACAAUAAUUGAAUCAUUAAUAUGAGAGAUAUUAUGCAACAAUUACUGUAGCAAUAAUUGAGUAUAACUGAGUGACUUUUCACGUAAGCAUCAAUAAUCCAUACCGUGUGCUACUAUGCAACCACGCGUAUUACUGUACUUUUACUAUCGGGUAGUUCAACAGUUUGACGGUAAAACUUUCAUCGUUAUUUUUAUAAAAAGAUAAUUCUGUCAUUUUCUAACUACGACAAUACUUCCGUUGUGGGGUCCACCAAUGAUUGUGCCGUCGUACGGAUAUUCCCCGACAAAAAGAAUAUUCCCCAACCAAUCGAAUAUUAUAUAACAACUUGCAUACUUUGAAAAAUUUAUAAAUAUUACCAACAACUCUAACAUUAUAUCAAAUCCACACCAUAAUAUUCAAAAAAAUAUUUUGAGAAAUUUAAAUCUUUAUUCAUAAAAUUUGGGGUCUCAUAAUCUCCCCUCCUUAUGAAAUUUCGCCCUCAAAAAUUACGUACGUACCUGGUAUGCCGAUGAGGUGAGGAUACCUUGACUUCAUUUCAUAUUCCAACUCUUGAGGUAUAACCUUUGAGUGUUGAAUAUGAUCCUUCUUAUCCAAGAUUUUAACAAGUAUCUCAUUAUACGUUAAAUCCUCUGCUAUAUCGUCUAGUUUUAAUUUAAUAAUGUUGUUCGGGUCGUCCACAUAUUUACGUAACAUUGAUACGUGAAAAACGUUAUGAACACGCAACAUACUUGACGGUAAAACGAGUCUAUAGGCCACAGUUCCUACUCGAUCGAGGAUUUCAAAUGAGCCAAUAAAAUUGAGGGUUGAUAUUUCCUCUUUUCAUUGACUCUUGCGUCUAGAAUAACGCCUUCUUGAACCUUCUUCUUUAUUUUCAUCAGCUCCAGGUGUGUAGUUUGAGCGGCUUUAACUUUAUCGAUUAAAGUCGAUUCUACUCGUAUAUUCGUUAUCUUCACGUGGGUCCCUAGAGUCUUUAACUCUAUCUUCAUCAUUUGUAAGUUAUACGAAAUGGGUUUUUGUGUUAACAACAUCGCACUCGUAAACGCAUACGAUCUUCUACUCAACGCGUCAGCUACCACGUUCGCUCUUCCACGAUGAUAUUGAAUGGUAUAGUCGUAAUCUUCAACAGCUCGAGCCAACGUCCUUGGCGCAUGAUACGUUUAUUUUAGUUGAAGAAAUAUUUGAGGGUUUUAGAAAUGGGUUUUGUAUUGGGGUCAAUACAAAAUUCGAUUUCACGCUUUGGGGGUAGACCAAGAAGUCUUCAAGAAUACGUCAGGAAAUUUAUUACCUAUAGAAAUAUCAUUCAAAACUGUGACUCUCAUCCAAGACUUGGAUAGCACAUGAAAUGAAAGUUUCUACUAACGAAGUUUCAACCGAUAAGUCAAAGUCUAAUCUCUCAGGAGUUAAAUUUAAACGUUGAGCGCAAGAAAGAGAGAUAAAAUAAUGGGUGGAACCGAUAUCUAAUAAGGUAUAGACUUUGCAAGAAUUUAUAAUUAAAUAACCCAUGCUAACUUCGUUCGGGUUACUCGCUUUUUGAGAAGUCACGAAAAACACUCUUCUUAAAACUACUGACUUUGUUUUGUCCGUAUCCGCCUUUGGUGCCACCGUCCCCAGCUGAACUUGACUUUGGUGCAUGACAAAAUCGGGAUAGGUGACCUUCUUUUCCACAAUUAUAACAUGCUUUGGACUGCAUCACGCAGUUUAGACUGAUAUGUCCCUCCCGUCCGCAUUUAAACCAUACAAUUGGUGGUCGUUCUCCUUCCUUGAAAACCGGUGUUGGUGCUGCUGUCUUUCCAUCAUUGUUGAACCUUCUCUUCUUGAAAUUUCCACUCCUAUUAUCUUGGCCAUGGUUACCACCGAAGUGGUUACCAUUCUUGGCAUGAUAAUUUCCCCCACGAUGGUUAUCAUUGUUCCGAUGGCCGUUGCCACCGGUACGAUUAUUAUCGUGUUAUUGGUCGUUGCCUUUUGGUUGUGCUGACUCAUUAUCGCGCUCCAAUAACUAAACCCUAUUCACAACAUCUGAAUAUAAACAAAUUUUGUGAAAAAUGAGGUAUUGACGUAUAUCGGGUUUCAAACCUCUUAGAAACAUCCGCGUCAUUCUCUCCUCAUUCUCAACCAAGUGGGACGUAAACCAAGAAAACUCGGCAAACUUAGCUUCGUACUGCGCCAUGGUCAUGUUGUUUUUCUCAAGCUUGAUGAACUCUACCUCCUUCAUGUGACGAAUACUUUCAGGAAAGUACUUGUCGUUGAAUAUCUCUUGGAACUUCUCCCAAGACAUCUUGAGUGUGGCAGGUUGAGUACGCUUUACAGAUUCCCACCAAUAAUCUGCCUCUUCACGCAAUAUAAAGGUGGCAAAUGGAACCUUUUGCUCCUCGGAGCAUCCCAAGACAUCAAAUAUCUUGGUGAUCUUCAUUAUCCACGUCUCCGCCUUAAGUGAUUCUGGCUUUCCCAAAAACUCCGGCAGUCCCAGCUCCUUGAACUGCUUAGCAGUGACCAGCCGUGGGUUGCCAUUGUUUCCACCCGCAUUUUGAACAAGAGUCUCUCUCGCCUGAUGUUGCAUGAAUUACAUAAAGCCUCUGAACAUCUCAUCGUUCAUCAUCUGAUCGGUGUUGUUAUUUACCUGAGGAUUAUUGUCUUCUUGUUGCACAUUAUCCUGGGUAUUGAUCGUUGGUGACUCAACGGUCUCAUGUGCUUCAUUGCUUAUCUCAAUAUUUUCAGAUGCCAUUCUCAAACACUAUCAAAAAACAAGGGUUAAUUAACAUGUCACAUAUUAUCCCUAUACUCUGACCGACCAAUUAAAUACCAAAUAAACCUAGGUAGGCCAUACUAGCGAAGGAAUUCCCCGUCUCUCCCCUCCUAGUUCUUAUCUCACAUCUCAGCCAGGGAUCAUAUCCCUAAGCUUUGAUACCAACUGUGACGCCCCCAAAAUAGGUAUACAUCACCCAUCUUGAGUCGCCAGAUACAUGGUACAUAAAUCAAAUACAAACUUAAUUAUACAACAGUCGUGUAAAAUACGACAAAACAUAGCUAUGAGUUUAAACAAGAAUAUUGUCAUCUAGACAAUAUCCAUACUCAAUGGUGUCCUCAUUAUAAUUAUUAUCACAUUAUUUCAUAGAAUAGUGAGGACUACUAAAGCCAUUUAUCCUGGACCAUCACUACAUUCCCUGACUCGUCCCAGCUAUAUUCUAAUUUCCUGAAGAGAACAAUGAAAGAAAGGGUGAGCUCAACUAGCCCAGUAAGAAAUAUUAUGACUAAAAUAAUGCAGAAUAAAUUAUCCUUAGCCUUCGACAGUAUAACAACUGAUAGAAUACAAUAGACAACAAGUUUUAGAUCAACAACUGCAGCGAAAAUAAGCAAUCCAUUAGAAGAGUCAAGUAGAGCAUAAAAUCUACUAUCUUCUAUGAUUUAAAAAGNNNNNNNNNNNNNNNNNNNNNNNNNNNNNNNNNNNNNNNNNNNNNNNNNNNNNNNNNNNNNNNNNNNNNNNNNNNNNNNNNNNNNNNNNNNNNNNNNNNNNNNNNNNNNNNNNNNNNNNNNNNNNNNNNNNNNNNNNNNNNNNNNNNNNNNNNNNNNNNNNNNNNNNNNNNNNNNNNNNNNNNNNNNNNNNNNNNNNNNNNNNNNNNNNNNNNNNNNNNNNNNNNNNNNNNNNNNNNNNNNNNNNNNNNNNNNNNNNNNNNNNNNNNNNNNNNNNNNNNNNNNNNNNNNNNNNNNNNNNNNNNNNNNNNNNNNNNNNNNNNNNNNNNNNNNNNNNNNNNNNNNNNNNNNNNNNNNNNNNNNNNNNNNNNNNNNNNNNNNNNNNNNNNNNNNNNNNNNNNNNNNNNNNNNNNNNNNNNNNNNNNNNNNNNNNNNNNNNNNNNNNNNNNNNNNNNNNNNNNNNNNNNNNNNNNNNNNNNNNNNNNNNNNNNNNNNNNNNNNNNNNNNNNNNNNNNNNNNNNNNNNNNNNNNNNNNNNNNNNNNNNNNNNNNNNNNNNNNNNNNNNNNNNNNNNNNNNNNNNNNNNNNNNNNNNNNNNNNNNNNNNNNNNNNNNNNNNNNNNNNNNNNNNNNNNNNNNNNNNNNNNNNNNNNNNNNNNNNNNNNNNNNNNNNNNNNNNNNNNNNNNNNNNNNNNNNNNNNNNNNNNNNNNNNNNNNNNNNNNNNNNNNNNNNNNNNNNNNNNNNNNNNNNNNNNNNNNNNNNNNNNNNNNNNNNNNNNNNNNNNNNNNNNNNNNNNNNNNNNNNNNNNNNNNNNNNNNNNNNNNNNNNNNNNNNNNNNNNNNNNNNNNNNNNNNNNNNNNNNNNNNNNNNNNNNNNNNNNNNNNNNNNNNNNNNNNNNNNNNNNNNNNNNNNNNNNNNNNNNNNNNNNNNNNNNNNNNNNNNNNNNNNNNNNNNNNNNNNNNNNNNNNNNNNNNNNNNNNNNNNNNNNNNNNNNNNNNNNNNNNNNNNNNNNNNNNNNNNNNNNNNNNNNNNNNNNNNNNNNNNNNNNNNNNNNNNNNNNNNNNNNNNNNNNNNNNNNNNNNNNNNNNNNNNNNNNNNNNNNNNNNNNNNNNNNNNNNNNNNNNNNNNNNNNNNNNNNNNNNNNNNNNNNNNNNNNNNNNNNNNNNNNNNNNNNNNNNNNNNNNNNNNNNNNNNNNNNNNNNNNNNNNNNNNNNNNNNNNNNNNNNNNNNNNNNNNNNNNNNNNNNNNNNNNNNNNNNNNNNNNNNNNNNNNNNNNNNNNNNNNNNNNNNNNNNNNNNNNNNNNNNNNNNNNNNNNNNNNNNNNNNNNNNNNNNNNNNNNNNNNNNNNNNNNNNNNNNNNNNNNNNNNNNNNNNNNNNNNNNNNNNNNNNNNNNNNNNNNNNNNNNNNNNNNNNNNNNNNNNNNNNNNNNNNNNNNNNNNNNNNNNNNNNNNNNNNNNNNNNNNNNNNNNNNNNNNNNNNNNNNNNNNNNNNNNNNNNNNNNNNNNNNNNNNNNNNNNNNNNNNNNNNNNNNNNNNNNNNNNNNNNNNNNNNNNNNNNNNNNNNNNNNNNNNNNNNNNNNNNNNNNNNNNNNNNNNNNNNNNNNNNNNNNNNNNNNNNNNNNNNNNNNNNNNNNNNNNNNNNNNNNNNNNNNNNNNNNNNNNNNNNNNNNNNNNNNNNNNNNNNNNNNNNNNNNNNNNNNNNNNNNNNNNNNNNNNNNNNNNNNNNNNNNNNNNNNNNNNNNNNNNNNNNNNNNNNNNNNNNNNNNNNNNNNNNNNNNNNNNNNNNNNNNNNNNNNNNNNNNNNNNNNNNNNNNNNNNNNNNNNNNNNNNNNNNNNNNNNNNNNNNNNNNNNNNNNNNNNNNNNNNNNNNNNNNNNNNNNNNNNNNNNNNNNNNNNNNNNNNNNNNNNNNNNNNNNNNNNNNNNNNNNNNNNNNNNNNNNNNNNNNNNNNNNNNNNNNNNNNNNNNNNNNNNNNNNNNNNNNNNNNNNNNNNNNNNNNNNNNNNNNNNNNNNNNNNNNNNNNNNNNNNNNNNNNNNNNNNNNNNNNNNNNNNNNNNNNNNNNNNNNNNNNNNNNNNNNNNNNNNNNNNNNNNNNNNNNNNNNNNNNNNNNNNNNNNNNNNNNNNNNNNNNNNNNNNNNNNNNNNNNNNNNNNNNNNNNNNNNNNNNNNNNNNNNNNNNNNNNNNNNNNNNNNNNNNNNNNNNNNNNNNNNNNNNNNNNNNNNNNNNNNNNNNNNNNNNNNNNNNNNNNNNNNNNNNNNNNNNNNNNNNNNNNNNNNNNNNNNNNNNNNNNNNNNNNNNNNNNNNNNNNNNNNNNNNNNNNNNNNNNNNNNNNNNNNNNNNNNNNNNNNNNNNNNNNNNNNNNNNNNNNNNNNNNNNNNNNNNNNNNNNNNNNNNNNNNNNNNNNNNNNNNNNNNNNNNNNNNNNNNNNNNNNNNNNNNNNNNNNNNNNNNNNNNNNNNNNNNNNNNNNNNNNNNNNNNNNNNNNNNNNNNNNNNNNNNNNNNNNNNNNNNNNNNNNNNNNNNNNNNNNNNNNNNNNNNNNNNNNNNNNNNNNNNNNNNNNNNNNNNNNNNNNNNNNNNNNNNNNNNNNNNNNNNNNNNNNNNNNNNNNNNNNNNNNNNNNNNNNNNNNNNNNNNNNNNNNNNNNNNNNNNNNNNNNNNNNNNNNNNNNNNNNNNNNNNNNNNNNNNNNNNNNNNNNNNNNNNNNNNNNNNNNNNNNCGCUGCGAAUAUUGAUCUAAAACUUGUUGUCCAUUAUAUUUUAUCUGAUUUAUUUAAGGCUAACGAUAAUUUGUUGUACAUUAUCUUAGUCAUAAUAUUCUUUACUGGGCUAGUUGAGCUCACCCUUUUCCUUUUUGUUCCAUUUUUCUUCUCAGGAGGCGAGAAUAUAGCGGGAACUAGCCAGGGUGUGGAGUGAUGUUUCGAGACAGUUGUUUUAGCAGUCCUCACUAUUUUGUAAAAUAGUGCAUCAAUAAUUGUAAUGAUUACUUAUUUUUGAGUUUGGAUAUAUUCUAGAAGACAAUAUUUGUAUUUAAACUCACAUCAUAUGUGUUGUCGUAUUUUGCAUGACAAUUGUAAUAAUGAAGUUGUAGUUAUUUUCUGUACCAUAUUUUUGGUGACCCAAGAUGGGUGAUGUAUACCUAUUUUGGGGGCGUCACAUCCGUGGUGGGGUCCACCAAUGAUUGUGCCGUCGUACGAAUAUUUCCUGUUAAAACGAAUAUUCCCCGACCAAUCGAAUAUUUUAUAACAACUUUCUUACUUUGCAAAAUUUAUAAAUAUUACCCAUAACUAUAACAUUAUAUCAAACACCAUAAUAUUCAAAAAUAUAUUUCGAGAAAAAUUAAUCUUUAUUCAUAAAAGUUGGGGUCUUACACAAUCUAUAUUAGACUUAAUUAAAGUCCAUAUAUCACACUUAAUUAGACCAAUUAAUUAGCCUAAUUUAUAUAAAUAUUAUUAAUAUUCUUACAAGUUUAUCUAUGUAUUCAUCUAAAUUUAUUUAUUAUUAAUUAAAUUUAUUAAUAAUGUUUAUUUAUAUCUCUUCUUCUUCGAUAAGGGAUCGACAAGCCAUUACUUCUAUAACUACUCAAAGUCAGGGCGGUAGUUAGCUACCAGCAAUAACUUUAUAGGGUAAAAUGCAAAAUUAACCACUGAAGUUUAGCAAUUUUUGGAUAUUGAGUCCCUUUCUUUUGGUCAACAGAAAUUGAGCUCCUUUCUAUUCAAAAAUUUGAAAUUUGAGCCAUCAGGCGCCACGUGAGCGUUGACCUGCUGACAUGAGAAUUUUUCAAUUUUAUCCCAAAAAUAUGUCGCUCCACUAAUUCGAACUCAAAACACCCAGUUUGGAACUUUGAUCAUAUGACCACUGAAGUACCACGAGCUUAACUGUUAAUAUUUCGCAAGGAUUAAUCUUUAUAACAAAACAAUUCAUUUCCCACAAAAAAAUUAAAAGACAAAACAGAUCCUUAAUAUUAGCUAAGUCUCAUUUUGUCCUUUAUAUUGACUGGAACUUAUUGACGGAUCAACCUAAAAAUAGAAUACUGCAAAUCAAGGAUUUAUUGACAUCCCAUAUACAUAACAAGCACAAACACAAGCUCUUUGACAACAGUAAAUUGAUUUGAACUAAAACAAAAAAUAAUACAUUAAUCCCAAAGCUUCUUUAAUUAACCAGUUCUUGAAUAGCUCCCACACUUUGUGAAUCGCAAUUCUCUGAAUCUCUCUCCCUCGACGAAGUCGCCCCCUGUUGAACAAAAGCACGGCCGUUGUAAUUUCGACUGAUGAUGGAUUCUUCCGAUAUAGGCCUUUUCAGACCUAGCCCUCUUGAUCUAUCAAAUGAUCUACGAGAGCUCUCCAUUUACAUAGUAAAAAUUCGAUCAACCAAAAAACAUAAAUCAAAGCCCUAAUUUAAUCCCUACUUUAUUACAUAGUAAAAAAUUGAAAAAGAAAAAACUAGAUUUAUGGUAAUUAAAACUAACAAGGAUUUCAUACGAGACUUACAAAUCAGAUACCCUAAUCAUUGCCCUAAUUAUGUAUACACAAAAUCAAGAUUGAUACAAAAGUUCGAUCUUUGAAGACAAAUAUUGUGAAUUGAGGAGAGAGAUGAGAUAUGAUUGACAGAACUCCGAUAUUAGUCUUCAAAUCGAGCUGUCAGUUACUUUUUGACUCUGGUUUCAAAUUAAUUAAGUCUCAUUUCGUAAUCUUUCUCAUUUCGUAAUCUAAAUGAGACUUAGUUAAGUAGAGGUUUAGAAAAAGAGAAAGAUAAAGAGGGAAAUGAAACUUAGCUACUCUGAAGGAUCUGUUUUGUCUUUUAAUUUUUUUGGGAGAAAUGAAUUGUUUCGUUAUAAAGAUUAAUCCUUAUGAAAUAAUAAAAGUUAGGCCUGUAGUGCUUGGGUGGUCAUAUGAUCAAAGUUUGAAAUUGGGUAUUUUGAGUUCGAAUCAGUGAAGCGCUCACGUGGCGCCUGGGGGCUCAAAUUCCAAAUUUUUGAAUAGAAAGUGGCUUAAUUUACAUUAACCAAAAGAAAUGGACUUAAUACCCAAAAAUUUCUAAAGUUCAGUGGUCAAUUUUAUAUUUUACCCUAACUUUAUCAUUAUAGCAAACUAUUUCAUGUUGCUCGGAGGAAAAAAAAAAUAUUAGAAGGAAAAAGGUUUGGCCUAUUAGUACUCGGUAAGUUCUAAACAAACCAAACACAAUUAAUAAUUUUAUUUAUUUACUAAUAAUAGUUUAUAUAACUUAUACGUUAUUAAGGGCUCAAAUUUUAUGGGAGUAGUUAACAUAAAAUUAAUUUUGAUUAAUUGACUAAUAUAGUAUCAACACACAAAUUGAAAAAUAAUCUCUCCUUACGUGUCAACAUUAUAUUAAUUAAUUUAUCAUAAAAAUUUUCAUAAUAAUCAGAUCCAAAUUUUAUAUAUCAAAAAUAGUAUGUCGCGUUGGACCUCUAAAUACUACUACUUUACCCACAUUAAAAGUUAAUAAUCGAAAAAAUCUCUCUCUAUUGUCGUUUUAUUUAUCAUUAUCCAAACACUACUGCUCUACGCACAUUAAACGGUGCUGAGAAGAAACGUUGUCAUUGUCCUUUUUCUGCAUGUGUGAUUGAAGGUAAUUUGGGUCUUAUCAUUAUGUUAGAACUUAUGUUAUUAGCUGCUCAUGUUUAACUUGAGUUUUUUUUUUUUGGUAUUUUGCAAGUCUUGUGGUACUGUCCAAAGAGUAUGGAUUUUUUCCACUUUUAUAAUCAUGUUUUGGGUAUUAAUGAAUUUCAUUUUAUUGAUAAAAAAGAAAAAUAAAAUUUUUCUCUCAAAUUAGUCACAUGCGGAUCACAUUAUUGAAUUACAGAUUUAAACAUAAAUUUAUAAGCAAUAACUCUCUUGACUUUUUAAAAAUAUAUUUAAGUCAUUUUUUUUGUCCAUGUUAGUCUACGAAAAACUACUUAAUAGCUUUAAAAUUAAUAUAAAAAAAAAUUACAAUUAACUCCUACUUCUAUACCACGAAGACAAAGGCAACCAAGUGGAAUAGGCGGGUAAUUUAAUUAACCUAAUUGGCUUUAUAUGUUAAAGCUAAUUAGGUUCCACAAAAACAAUAUUGGAGUAGCAGCUAAUAGUGUGACAGGUGACCAUACAAUGGAUAUUUUUCAAUACGUUUCACUUUCAUGACAGAAAACUUUACGGAUUAAUUAACACACAAAAUAUAAAUAAAAAUAUUUUAUCAGUUUUUUCUUAUUAUAAUUAAAAAAGAACUGGAGACUAUAAAAGGGUAUGCAUGGAAGUCUAGAGAUCACAGAAAACACACACUUCAUUUCUUAAGAAAAAAGUUGUUGAAGUUUGAAGAGAUCAUGAGGGCAAUAUAUAUUAUCAGCAUCAUUAUAGUGAGCUUGAGCAUUUUCUCUUGUGGUGGGAAUGCUCGACUUCUUCCUGCUAAUAGAGAUUAUCCAUGGGCAAUGUUUGCCCUAAGGCUUCAAUGGCCAGCUGGAUUUUACGAGGUCAACAAUGACUGUGAUACAAAGUCUCUCCUCAACACAUUUACCAUUCACGGCCUUUAUCCCUAUAACGCGAAGGGGAUCCCAGUGUUAUAUUGUGACGGAACUGCCUUUGAUGUUAACUCUGUGAGUUCUCUCAGUCUGCAUUUAAUUUACUUCUUAAAAUCCUUGCUCUAUUGUCUAUUAAAUAUGUUUUUUUGUGGUAACAUUUAUAUAUAUCUUGAAGAGUUGGAUAUGUUUGUUUGAUAAAAAAAAUGAAAUUGUACAUGCAAUAUAUAUCCAUACAUACUCACAUAUGUUAAACUAAUUUCUCUCCUCCUUUAUUUUGAAAAUUAACAGGUAUCGGACUUUCAAGCAGAAAUGCAUCUUGCAUGGCCGAGUCAUGAAACUAAUACUGAGGACAAACAAUUCUGGGAACACGAGUGGAAUAAACAUGGAAGGUGCUCAGAAGCUUUGUUGAAGCAGACUGAUUAUUUUAGAACGGCGCUUGCUUUUAGAAAAGCAUUUGAUAUAAUUGGGCUACUAAACCAGGAAGGUAAACAUACCCAUUGAUAUAUAAUUAAAUAGUCUUUAAUUUGGUUCAUUAAUUGCUUCCUAAGGGAACUACGUACUUAAUUUAGAUUUUGUGGAUGAUUAAUUGAUAAUGUGAGUUUGAUGAGAUUACUAUUCAAAAAUGUGUAGGGAUUUACCCGAAUAACGACCUUUAUCGUCCUAAAAUGAUAAAAGAAGCAAUCAAAAAGCACUUGAAUGCUGUGCCAGAAAUCGAUUUCACCAAAAACGAAAACUCAGAAUAUGUGCUUACGGAUAUUAAUCUAUGUGUGAACCAACAAGCAACAAGGUUCGUAGAUUGCCCUACCGAUGACGCUACUGAUGACUACCGCCUCAAAUUCGUAAGACUACCUUCUAAAAUGAAAAUUGCGGAUCCGAGGACCAAUUCUAUAAUAUAGCACAAAUGGUACGGCUACAAAAUGGACUACUAUCUUGUUUAAUUAAUGCUUUUGGGAGUAUAUAUUAUCUAUGUAAAAUAGUUAUGAGUGCUAGGGUUGGCUAAUUAGUACUAUGAGGCCAACCUUUAGUAUCUCUUGAAUAAUGUCCAUGUAGCAAAAGUUUAUAGCACUCUGGCCUUGGUGUGUAUGGAUAAUUAUAAUAAAUGACUACUUUUAUCUGCAAAAAAAAAUAAAAUCCAAGUAUUUUCUUUUGUUUUUAUUUUUGAUAAGAAUUUAAUUUUAUGUAGUUUGAUGGCAUAGUUUAUCUAGGAAGCUGAUAUUUUCACAUGUUAAAAUGAUAUUUUCAAACGAGUCUCUCACAAUAUGGAUGUGGGACUUGCUCACUAUUCAUGUGAGAGGGAUUAUGUGAAAAUAUCAAAUUUUUAUGUGAAAAUAUUAGCUCCCUUUAUCUAUUAUAAUGGUGAAACAUGACUUUUUGAUAUUUUUCACAUGAAAAUCGUCGCUAUAGAUCCUUUAGUAGUGGUUUUUACUGUCGCUAUACAUCUCUAUAGCUACAUUUUUUAUAUAAAAAUAUCAAAAAAAUAUGUGGAAAUAUCAAGCAUGCAUGCAUCGUACCAGAAAACAUUUAAAGGGACACUUCAAAGGGAUUUCAGACAAAAAAUAAAACCAAAAAUAAAUGAUUUCAUCACAAUUUUGUUUUCAAGUAUUGUCGCAAAUCAGUGGUCACUAAAAAAAAAAAGGAAAAUAUAUUUGUCGCAAUCUAUAAAACAUGACUGAAAACAGGGGCGAAGCCACAGUUCAGGAUGUGUGGUCAAUUGAUUUCAUUGAAAAAUAUAUAUUUUAUAAUAUAUGAUAAAUUUAAAGAAUAUUUAAGUGUAAUAAAUAAAUUGACUUCAUUGAAAUUUUAUAACCUUUUUAAUAUACGGUGUUAAAUUGAAUUUUUUAUAACUUUCUCAAUUCUAUAUUAUUUCUACUCCUUGAUGUAUGCUUAUUUCUCUAAUAUUUUUAAAAUAAAUAAUAAUUUAAUUUAUAUUAUUUUUAUAUCAUAAGAAAUUUAAAUAUUUAUUAACAAAUUUAUGAUUAAAAAACGUAUUAGGGGUCAAUAAGGAGUUUUUUUGUGUGUGUGUGUGUGUGUGUGUGUAUAUAUAUAUACAUGUUGUUUCAUUUUAUGUCUUUAGGUUUAGUUUAUCAGGAUACUAGGUAGAUUAUUUCAUUUGGGUCUCUCUUGAGCCUUAAUUUUAGGUUGCCCUCUUUUAUAAAGAGGAUGAUUCGAUUUCAACUGCUGACAUCUGUACCAGUUGGUUCAUGGACAAGUUUCUUUUGAUAAGUUAGUAUCAUGGACAAAUAUAAAUAAUAAUUAACUGUUACAAUGAAAAUUAAACUUCAAUUAAGUCUAGGCCAUUCAUACAUUGAAAAAAGCUUCUUGAAUAGGUUAGAGAGUUUGUGAAAUAUUUUUUUAGUUUGCUUAACCCUUUGAAAAGCGGUUGUGGUAAGAACAAAUAUUGAUAAGUUAUUGAAACACCGCUUUUCAAAGGGUUAAGCAAACUAAAAAAAUAUUUCACAAACUCUCUAACCUAUUCAAGAAGCUUUUUUCAAUGUAUGAAUGGCCUAGACUUAAUUGAAGUUUAAUUUUCAUUAUAACAGUUAAUCAUUAUUUAUACUUGUCCAUGAUACUAACUUAUCAAAAGAAACUUGUCCAUAAACCAACUGGUACAGAUGUCAGCAGUUGAAACCGAAUCAUCCCCUUUAUAAAAGAGGGCAACCUAAAAUUAAGGCUCAAGAGAGACCCAAAUGAAAUAAUCUACCUAGUAUCCUGGUAAACUAAACCUAAAGACAUAAAAUGCAGUAACAUAUGUACAUGAAGGACAUAUUGAAACACUGCUUUUUUUUUCUUUUUUGAUAAGUUAUUAAAACACCGCUUUUCAAAGGGUAAGCAAACUUGAUACAGGAAGAGAAGUAACCCUUUGAGCAGCAGGAACCCAUCUGGGUGGAGGCGAAUCCAACAAUCAACUCAGAAUUACAAAAUCCUAUACAAUAAGAUUACACACAAACUCUAAAUUUCAUUCAUUUAGUUAGAAAAUUAGAAAAUACCUUGGGAGACGACGAACUUGCUUUCGAAUUCGUCCGGCGAACUUGCUUUCGAAUUCGUCCGACGAGAUGCUUGGAUUUGCGAUUGAGAAUGAGCCAGAUUUCGUCUGGCGAGAUGCUUGGAUUCGCGAUUGAGAAUGAGCAAGAUGGUCUCUGUCCUUUUUUUGACCCGAAAAGGAUCCGCGGCUAUUUUUUCCCAAAAGGUCUGUGUCUUUUCCUCGCCGUUGGAUGUAUCUCACGAUUAGUAUGAAAAGUUCGUAUUUUUGGCAACAUCCGGGCGCCCGGACCAGAUCGUUUCUGUAUAUGUAUGUAUGUAUAUAUAUAUAUAUAUAUAUAUAUAUAUAUAUAUAUAUAUAUGCGUUGUGAGAUCUGUGGUAUUGUGUUGCAUGGGGUAAUAUAAACUAUGCAAUAAGUGAUUUCUGUGUUUAAUAAAUAUAUUAUUAUAUAUUUGUUAUUUAUUGAAGAGGCAAGUUAUUUGAAGUAAAGAAGAUGGAUAAAAAUUUAUCGAUAUUAAAUAAUUUAUGUGAAAUUAUUUUAUCGUAGUAAGUUGGUGACAUUAAAUAUAUUUGAUAAUCACCAAUUUCUUUAGUAUAUGUAUGAGUAAGUAUCACGUCUAAGGCAGUGCAACCGUACCCUUUAAUGGUGGUUGUGUAGGAGCUGGGCUAACUGAUUCCUUCAGAGAGCGGAGAUAUAUACAAAUUAGUAACCGAUCUAACUUACUGUGAAAACAGUGUAGACGAGAAGGAAAGUAAUUUGUUGGUUAUUUGUGGGAAACCACUCAGUGUACUAUAUUGAAUACUAUUAAAGACUCGAUGUGUGUUAGGUUUAGACUUGUAUAUAUAUACGUUAUUGACGAGAGAAGAAAAUCGAUAUAUCUUUAGAUAAAUAUUGGUUAGAGAUUUAUUGAUUAAUAUUGAGAUAUGAUUAAAUGUAUAGAUUAAAGAAAUUGUGUUGAGACAAUUUAUAGAAAGGAAAGAGAAAUAAUUAUAGUAUAUUUCUAAUAAAGGAUAUUAAAAUAAAUUCUAGCAUUUGAUUAUUUUAAUAAUAAUGGGGAAUAUUAUUUUGAAAUUACCUUAUAGGUAAUGUGUGUGAUUAAGUAAUAUGGUAAAUAUAUUAAAACAUAUUUGCUAUAUAAGUUGAUGGAAACAAUUUAUCAUAAUAGGAAAUAAACUUAUUUUCUAUAUAUAGUGUGUACGUGUGUCGUGCAUGUAAAUAUUUUAAUAAUACAUAGAUAUUAUAUUAACAAUAAUAUCUUGAGAAAAUGAGUAAAUCGUUUUAUUAUGAUUAGUUCCUAUAUUUAGAGAAAACAUGAUAAAAUCAUCGUAUGUUAUGUUAUGGCGAAAUACAUAAUUUUGAUUGUAGUAAUGUAUUUCCAAGAAGGUUAAAGUUAAAAGAAAACUAAGUUAUUCUAAUAACUUGAGUUAUUAUAUUACCGCGAAUGUUAUAAAGAAUAUUUAAAUAUCUUCAUUCACGAUAUAUUUAUAUAUGUGAAUCUUGUGAUAUAAUAGUUCGAUGUAAAUUGAACAUAUUAUAAAUAGUAAGGUUCGUGGUAAAUGAAUAAGUAAUGAGAAUGAGGAUAAGCUUAAUGUAAGCUUGUGAGAUAUGCCUAGUGUGGUAAAGUGAUGGAAUAAACAUUCAUUAAAUAAUUUAAUGAAUGAAUAAUUGAAGGAAUUAAAUUGUAUGUGCAAUGAUUAUAUAUUAUAUAGUAACUACAUCUAUAUGAUAUGAAAUGAAGUGUGACACUUCAAUGGUAACUAUAUAAUAUAUGAAGUAUUUGAAUACAUAUGUAUAAAGACUAGUAUGCUAGCAUUAUGUACAAGUGAGAUAAUAAAUGUAAUAUGGUACAAUAGACCACUUCCAUGACCAUAUUAUAAGAUGUAAUGUUAAGAAUAAUAUUAUUUUGUGAGAUUAUUUUAUUAUAAGCUUGUGGACUAUUAAUUACUAAGUUCACAUAAUUAUGUCUUGUGUGGCAUAACUAGUGAAGUUAAAUCAAAGGGAGAAUUAAUGGAAAGUAUUAAAAGAAAAUAAAUGGUGAGUUAAUAAAUAAUUGAUAUUAAUUAUCAUUAUGAUAAUUGAGGGUAUUUGAGGUAAUAAAGUUUAUGGAAAAUGAUGGAUUGAGAAUAUCCAACUAUUUUAUAUUUAGCCCAAUAAAAAUAUUAAUUGAAAUAAACCAAUGUACAUAGAUUAUAUAAAUUCUAUGUGUAAUGUAUAAGUGAGUGUAUAUGUAUGAUCAUUUUUGGACAAAUAUCAAAUAAACCUAAGUAUGCUAAUAGUAAUACAAAAUGUUGAGUUUUAAGGGUAGUGUCCCAAAUUGUGUGUCAUUUCUCCAUACACGUGAAAUGCAAAAAGGAUAGCUAGCUAGCUUGCUUCUUCUUCUCCAAAAUCCAUAGCUUCCAAAUGAUGAAAAGGGGAGUGAGUUGAUUUGAUUUUCCACCAACUUCUCAUGAACCAUUAGUUUCUUCUUCAUUCCAUUGAGCAAAGUUCCAAUGUUGGUCAAAAAGUUUUCCUAUAAAUGAAGCAAGUUUCAUUCUUGUACUUCUUGUUGAUCACUCUGUGAAGUUCAAAAAUUUGUGUGUGUGAGUGUUGUUGAGUUGGAGAGGAAACUUGAGAUUGAAAGCAAAGAGUUUACUUCACAACUUUAGAAGGUAAUAUCCCUCUAUAUGUUAUUGAAUUCAAGUUUUGCAAAGUUCUUAAAAAAGUACUAAAAUACUUGUUUUGAGUUGAAAAGUUUAUGGUUGAAGCAUGAUAAAGUGUGUCAAUUGAUGCUAGACACUGAUAAUAUAGUCAUAUGCGAAAACAGCGAGAGUUAAACGGACCAAUUUGGUUUAGAAACGAAUUCGUAGUGAAUGAAUUCACUAAACUUUUCAAAACAUGAAAAUUAGUAUGAACAUGAGUUUUGGAUUAAGAAUUAGGUUAGUUAGGGUUUCUGUAAAUUGUUAUAAUUCUAGUAUGUUGUAGUUCUAUGAAUUACGAAUCCAUAGAAUCAAAAACGGACUAAUUUGGACAUGUAUAACUCAAAUUAUGAAGGUUAGAAAGAGGUUUGGCAUGAUAUCUCGUAGCAGGGGAAAUGAAAAUUUUCAAUUUCAACAGCUAUGCCCGCCCCGGCGGGGGUCUUGCUGUGAAAAAGGCCCGCCCCGGCGGAAGAGGUGGGGGGGGNNNNNNNNNNNNNNNNNNNNNNNNNNNNNNNNNNNNNNNNNNNNNNNNNNNNNNNNNNNNNNNNNNNNNNNNNNNNNNNNNNNNNNNNNNNNNNNNNNNNNNNNNNNNNNNNNNNNNNNNNNNNNNNNNNNNNNNNNNNNNNNNNNNNNNNNNNNNNNNNNNNNNNNNNNNNNNNNNNNNNNNNNNNNNNNNNNNNNNNNNNNNNNNNNNNNNNNNNNNNNNNNNNNNNNNNNNNNNNNNNNNNNNNNNNNNNNNNNNNNNNNNNNNNNNNNNNNNNNNNNNNNNNNNNNNNNNNNNNNNNNNNNNNNNNNNNNNNNNNNNNNNNNNNNNNNNNNNNNNNNNNNNNNNNNNNNNNNNNNNNNNNNNNNNNNNNNNNNNNNNNNNNNNNNNNNNNNNNNNNNNNNNNNNNNNNNNNNNNNNNNNNNNNNNNNNNNNNNNNNNNNNGUGUCCUGCAAUGACUUAUUUUAUCUGUUUUGGUAAAACGGAUAUAACGUUUUCAUACAAACUCCGAUUGAGGAGAUUCAAGAUGAUCCGGAACGAGAAUGAAUAGACCCUCAACUUUUGUUCUUUACAUUUUUCAUUUUGAGGUUGUUAGAAUGGGUCAAAACAGUCAUCUUUGUGACUGUUACGUAUAUGUUAUUCUAAGUUAUUAAACAUAAAUAUGUAUGAUAAUAGACAUGUCAUAUAGCUAAGAUUUCUUUACUCAUAAUGAAAUGCGUUAACAUGAUUUUCUAAAAAACACUUAAAAGUUUUUGAGAAACGAAAGUUGAUGAAAUUGGUGUCCAUUGAGUUCUGAGCUUGGACCCUAUGUACGCAUAUCAAUGGACAUGAAAUUUAGUUUUAAAGUUACCUUGCAUAUACUAGAUUGAUAUAGCUUGGUUUAAAGUGUUUUGAAAGAAAAACUUGAAGUUUUGAAAAUGAAACUUGACGAACUUUGUGUCUUUUAAGCUUCGACUUUGGGAACAUGUGAUUGUGGCCUAGUUAUGCGUGUGGAUGGACAAGGAAUGUAAUUUCAAGAUAUAUUGCACAUAAAAGGUUGUCAAGCUCGGUUUAGUAUGUGUUUUAAAUUUUUUUUAAAAGUUUUAGAAACUAACUUUGAUGAGCAUUGUAUUACUUGCAUUAUGACCUUAUAAGCAAGCAUGAUAGAGUUGUCUAUGACUUUGAACAUGAAUGAUAUGUGCACUCAACUAGUCAAGCAUGACCUAAGUUAUUUAAGCAUGUUUUAAAAGUAUGAACUAUGCUAUGUCUAUGUAAAUGAGAUAGAUACAUGUGAUCAUGCUAUUAGAGGCUUAUUAGUACCAAUAUAUAGUUUAAAAGCUUAUAACAUUGAAUCUUGUUAAAGAAAGUUGUUAAGCCUUAUUGAUUAAAAUAAAUCAUUAUGGAGCUAAGUAGUUUGAAUAUGAACUUGAAAAUAGAUCACAACCUAUUUAAUGUCAAGUACGGAUGGUUAAGAUAUACUUAUACAUGCCUAGCUAUUCAAAGAUUAGGAAGAGAAAGUGAAAUGAAGGUUUUACAAACCUAGUUAGGAAACGAUAUAAUAUUUAUUAUUAUAUUAAGAGCAUAUGAAAUGUAUGACUGAUGGAUAUGAAUCCAUGAUUAUAUAACUAUGUAGGAAUACACGCAGUGCAGAUAAGCUUUAAGCAGUUAAGUCAUAGUUGAUAAACUAUGAAUCAGGGUCUUUCAGUUCUUAUUUGAUAUAUGAAUUUGAUAAUUGUUAGUUGAGCUAUAUUAUGCUAUGAGAAUGUUGAUGUAUAUAUAUGAAAUGCAUAUGAGAUAUGUAUGAAAUUGAAAGUUGAUCUUUGAUGAUAUGCUUGUGAAGUAAAUGUCUAUGCCUGUUAUGUGAGAAGUAACAUGUGUAGUAAAUAUUAAUUGAUUAUGAAUGCAUGAACUGAGUAUGUUAUUAUAUGCUAUGUGCUGCAUGAAAACUGUUAGAAUUGCUGGGUUGUCGAGCUCACCCUUGCAAAUAACCACUUUUACAGGUUAAGGACUCACGAUAAAGAUUACGUGCUACUUGAUACAUAAAGUUCAAUAGCAUCAAAGGAGAUUUAUUUAUUUAUUUAAAUAUAUGACCUUGAACCAUGUUUAGGUUCUAGGAGAUGUACAUAAUAGUAGUUUACGAUAAGUAAUACAUGUUAAGUUGUACUAUGUGAUACAUAGAGGAAUUCGAAUCGAGAUGUAAAGAUUUUUACAGUAAUUCGAAUAGAAUGAAUCAUAACAUAAUUUGAUUCAAGGAGAUCUAAUUGAUUCAAGUUAAGACAUCAAUAAAAGAUUUUUUUUAAGAGAUUGAAAAAGUUUAAAUUAUUCUGCAUAUUUUUAUAACAUCGAAUAUGAUAUAAGACAAGAAUGGUAAAUGACCAAGAUUAGAAACUUAUAAAAGUUUGGGGUCAUUACACAGAUCCUGGCAAUAGAAAGAAUUUAUUUUCUAAAUUGUAAUAAGCUAAGUUAUAUUCAUUAAGUUAUGAAUAAAAGAUAUAAAUAGUUUGACGAUAGUAGUAUCAUGGCGGACUGGAUCCGAGGUUCGAAGGGACCCGGAUUUGGGGGCGUCACAAUCACUAUUCAAAUACAUACAUAUAUCACCUGCUUAAUAUUGUAUACAUUCUUCAUUUAUUCCACACGUGUCUCAUAAAAAAUAAUAGAAACAUCCAUUCAUUCUUCUAUAGGCCUUAACCUCACAUAUUCAACAUUUGCCUAUAAUAUAAAUUAGGAUUACUUGAGAUUUCACGUAUAUGAAAUUACAUAUUUUCACAUCUCGACUCUUUACACAAUUUAAUACUUCAUAAUAUCAUAACGUAUCUUAUAUUAUUACAAAAAAUUAAUACAACAUCCUAAUCUAUUACAUCAACAUUAUUCAUUCUUUCUAACAACCGUUUCUUUCUCUUUUAUCUAUAUCUUUUGGACCCUUUUGAUCCUUCUGCCUUUUCUAAAAAUUUGAAAUAAAAUGCAAGAGCGAACAACAGAUUUGCUUAACAAGUUUAAAAAUAGUUUAGAAUAAUAAGCACAAGUAUAAAUCCCAGUCACUGAAUUAACAUUACAGAUAAUAAUCUUAAAAAUUCUGAAACACUCAGCAUCAACAACGUAGCAUAACAAAAUGUCACUACAGGAAAAAGACUUAUCUAUAACCACCUAUUAGUGACUGUACUUGGUCGCAGAUGCAUAUCAGCGAUUGAAUGCGGUCGCUGAUAAUAGUCACAUAUAAUCUGGCCGUUGUGUGGAUCCCAACGACCACUAUUAGUGACCGAUAUAUCAGCGACCGCCCUAUAGCGACCGAUGUCGUCGCUAACCUGAGUCACUGUGAGUCAGGUCUCAGGGGUGACGUGGCCCAAUUUUUGCGACCAACAUUAUCGAUCGACGUGGUCACUAAAAACCUCAAGUCAUUUUUUAGCGGUCGCUGAUACGUAUUAGUGACCGCCUGCGGUUGUUGAUACUUAAAUUUUUUUUUUUAAAAAAAGAUUGUUUUGGGGAUUUAAUUCCCUACACAUAUUAGUGUCUAUUUGUACCUGCUUUAUAUCUUAAAACACAGCUGUAUCAAUAAAUAAACCAACAUCCAUACAAAUACAUCGAUCCAUAUAUAUACACAUCCACACAUGUAUAAACAUAUAUAAACAAAUACCAUCCGACUAAAUUUUUUAUACAAAUAAAAUGUCAUAACAUACAAUAUAAACUCCGUACAUUCAUUCGGUAAAAAAAGAAUAAUACAAAUGUUCACAUAAAAGAGAAGAGAACAAUACAAAUGUCUGCAUGCAUCAAAUAUCGUCCAAAUGAAGUUGUAACAAAAUAUGUUAAAUAUAAAGUAUACAUGUUGAUACUGGCGUGACUUAUGCAAAGCAAAAAAUGACCAUUUAUGAUGUAUUACAAUAACAAAAAGCUAAACAUAAAUAAAAAACUAAACAUGUAUUAUUGAAUGUAAAACUAAACUAAGCAUCAAAGCUAAACAUAAAGGUAAACAAUGACAAGAUUACCUCGACAUCAUUAGCAUGUUGUUAUGAUGUUUUCACCACUACAUAAGCUAACUCUUUAGGACUCAGAGAUUGUAAAUAUCCGCCAAUUAUAAAGUCGGUCGUCGUUAAUAAAGCUUGUCCCCAAUACUCCUUGAGAAGUGUAAUCUAGUUAUGGCUCACCUCUCCAUGAAAUCAAGAAACAUCCUCGGUUUGAAAGCCCUAUGCAUUUCAGUUGUUACUCCUGUUUUUGCAAAAUCAACUGCCAUAGAGUGAAGGGUUGCCAACUGAAGAUAUUUUUUACUCAUAACUUUAUUUGACUCAAGGUCUGUAUGUACCAAAUGUGCAAUAGAGAUUGUACCUAAGGUAUCAUUAAUCAGAUAAUUAAUUAACAGAGAACUUUUGAAUUUCCUGCAAAAUUAGACUUAUUGGAAAAUCUCAGACUAUUAUGAACAUAAAUAAAAUAAAAUUUAGCUUUAAACUACCUCUAAUGUCAUAUCAUGAUCCAUCAAGCGUGGUCUUCGUCUAGUAUAGUUCAUGGGGGGGGGGGUACAGUUCAACGUGGGAUGAGAUUAUCAUCCCAACUUAUGAAAUUGAGCUCAACCAUAUAGACCUAGCUCUUCCAUUCCCAAAUCAACUGCUACAGUUCAUUGUAAUUGAACUAAUUAAGGAAGUAACAGUUCAAUAGAUAGAGAGGAAAAGCGGGCCAGGACUGGAAACUGGAAGGGAGUUAAUGAGAAUACAAAGUGUCACCAUUCUUAGAUGUUUCUUUUGCAUUUUUUGUGUAUAGACAAAUAUAUAAAAAUAAAUGUGGCUAUUUUUCAAUACACUCAUUAUUUCUUGAUGUAAAUCAUAUAUUCUCGAUGCAGAAGAUCAACUAGACACUUUCUAUGACGCCCCUAAAAUUAGUCCACACAACCCAUUUUGGGUCGCCAAAUACACACUACAGAAUCUAAAUACAAAUCUUUCAAUUUAUAACUAUUAAAAUGUUGUGUAAAAUACAACAACACAUAAACUGGGAGUUUCAAUAAAAAUAACAGUACUCACACUCCAAACUAAUGAUACUUUACAUAAGGGUAAAAUGCAAAGCAAAUCUGACGUCAGCAUUUUUUAUUUUAUUUUACAUAGUGGACAGGCUGACAUGGCAAAUAUUGAAUUUACCUAGCAAAAAUUAUGUUUGCUGCCAAGAUUUGAACUUGAGACCUCUAGCUUAAAACUUGAACCCAAUAACCAACUAAGCAAACAAGACUAGUUGUUAUAAUUUUGCAAGGAUUAAUAUUUAUAACUGAACAAAUUAUUUUCCCCAAUAAUAACAACAACAACAACAACAACAACAACAACAACAAUAAUAAUAAUAAUAAUAACAAUAAUAAUAAUAAUAAUAAUAAUAACAAUAAUAAUAAUAAUAAUAAUAAUAACAAUAAUAAUAAUAAUAAUAAUAACAAUAAUAAUAAUAAUAAUAACAACAAUGAUAAUAAUGAUGAUGAUAAUAAUAAUAAUAAUGAUAAUGAUAAUAACAAUAAUAAUAAUAAUAAUAAUAACAACAACAACAACAACAACAACAACAACAACAACAACAAUAAUAAUAAUAAUAAUAAUAAUAAUAAUAAUAAUAAUAAAAGACGUUAUUAAAGACAUCAAAGACUCCUACAAAGACAUCGGAUUAUUAUUCAAAUUAUAAUCCAUCAAAGACAUCAGGAAUAGUGGGGAUGUUUAUUCAAAUUUUAUUUUUAUUUUAUUAUUAUUAUUAUUAUUAUUAUUAUUUUGAAAAACUCCUACAAGAUCUGUUAGUUAUAAUCAGUCCAGAACAGAUCCAAAAUUCAGCCAAAAAUCCCACAACAUUUAUAUGAUUCAAAAUCCCACAACAUUUAUAUAAUCCAAGGACAGAGUAACAGUUUUAUAGAUCUAGAUCUAUAUCAACUAAACCCAUAACAGACUAAAUUAACACUCAAAAUAAGAUCUAGGCCUCCGUCGACUACUCCGUUACCAAAAGAAUCGCCGGCGAAACGACGUCCCACAAGAUCCGCCUCUUUCAUCUUUCAUCUUCCUCUCCAAUCCCAAUUAAAUUGAAAAUACAAAACAUUAAUUAAAUUAAAAGGAAAAAAAUAGCCUUCAUCAGAAUCCACCUCUUUCAUCUUCCUGGAUGGUGUUUUCAGUUCAGUCUUGUCCAUCACCUGUGGAAAGAAAAAAUAAUAAAGAGAAGAGAAAGGCACUAGUGGUCCGGUUAAGAACACGUGAUUAAUGACUGCUACAACAUCUCUGACGAACUUCACAAGAUUUUCUCCUAUAUGUUCACCUGUAAAUGAGAAACUCUACUUAUGUUUCGAUUGUCAUAAUAUUUUGAAAUUGUACAAGUAAUUGAUGAAUUCUCGGUCGAAUUCGACUUGGGGUUUUGUUCAACCAUUUUCAAACUUACUAAAUCUCCCCUUUUAUUUUAUUAUAAUUGUUUGUAAGCUUUUAUAAUUGUUUGUAAACUUUUAUAAUUUGUUUUAUAAUUUCUGGAAAUGUCUAAUAUUUUGAAUAUGGGAUAUUUUUAAGUUUUAAUUUUAAGCUUAUUUUUAAAUAUAUUCUUUUUAAAUUUGUAAAUUAGUUUUAAUUUAAAAUUUUUAAUUUUAAUCUAUAAAUUUGCUAAUGUUAAUUGUUUAAUUUUUUAAUUAAUGUUGAUUGUUUAAUUUGUUAUCCUUUUAAUAUUAUGUCGAGGGAAAUGAACUGAUUUAGUAUAAAUCUUAAUUCUUUUGUUAAAAUAAUUGAAAGUUUUAUGUAGCUCAGGUGGUUUAAUGGUCAAAGUUUCAAAAUUGAGAUUUUGGGUUCGAUUCUUGGGGAACUAAGUUUUUUAACAAUUAAUUGAAAAAUGCAUAGAUAAGUAGCUCCACAUGACAAAAAUAUCCACGUCAUCGGUGCCACGUGUGCCACGUAGGCAGGUCAACGCACCUGGGGGCUCAAUAUCCAAAUUUUCAAACAGAAAAAGGGCUCAAUUUGCGUUGACAAAAAAAAAAGGGCUCAAUACCCAAAAACACCUAAAGUUCAGUGAUCACAUUUGCAUUUACAUAAAGGUACAAUCAAUAUAACGAUCGAGAAAUUUGAAAUUUAAUUUUAAUAUUUAUGGAAUUAAAUAAAUAUUUAAAAUUAUUGAGGAAAAUAAAUAUUUGAUGAAUUGUCAUAAAUUAAUUUAGUAGCUAAAUUAAUUAAUGUUAAUUGAAUCGAGUAAUGAUAAUUUUAUUUGUUGGAUUUAAUUUAAGGAGAUAAUUAAAUUAAAUCAAUUGCUUAAUAUUUAAGAAAUUAGUUAAAUUAAAUGAAUUGUUUAAUUUAAAGGAAAUAAAUAAAUUAAAUAUAGUGAUGUGUCUAAUUUAUUAAUUAAAUUAGAUAUAUAAUUAUUUAUUAAUGAUAAUAAGAUUUUUAUUAUUAGUAUUAUAAGUUAUUUAAAUUAACUAAACUAAGUUAUUUAAAUUAAUUAACUAAAAGUGUGAUAUAAAACUAUGUAAUAUAAAUGUUAUUAAAAUAAUUUAGUUUGGGGAAAGUUGGUUAGCCAAACCAGGCCUUAUGGCCUUUGGCAUUAUUCCAACUGACGAGUCUUUUUAUUUUUCUAACGUAAGGGAACGUGGGAGCAGCUAGCUUAUAUUUUUCCUACGCAUAUUAUUUUCUAAGGCUAGCAUUCAGUUUCUUUUAUUAUUCACGUAUUUGACUAAGGAGGAAGAGCAGAGUUGAGAGAAAAGAGAGAGCGUAAGAAUUGAGAGAGAAGAAGAAUUACAAGGAACUUGAGAGAUUGAGAGGAAACCUAAGCAAUUUCAGUGUUAACAAGGGUUAAACAUAUUGAAGGUAUUCUAUCUAACCCUUGUAUUAUAUAUAUAUAUAUAUAUAUAUAUAUAUAUAUAUAUAUAUGAACUUACGGCAAAUUUGUUAUGUUUUGUUAAUUGUAAUUCUUUCAAAAUUGUUGUGUAACUAAAGUAUGGUGGAUGUGUGGUAUAAUGCUAGAGUUUAUGUUUAAAACGAGAAGUUUGUAUGCUAAAUUCGUUGACAGUAGGAAGAAAAUUUUGACAGUAUAUGUGUUUCAUAUGGUUCAUGGAAAAGUAUUAAUUUUGAUGGCCAAUUCUUAUGUUAAACUAUAAAUUUAAGCUUGUAUAUGUUAGUUCGUUGAGAUACGAGCAUAACGUAAUUUGAAGGAGGUGAUUUGGUCAAAUAAUGAAUUCACAGUGAUGAUUUUUGGGAUAGACUAUCAAAAAUGGAGUUUUAUAUAAAAAACAUGAAAAUUGAGAAAUUAAAAUAGUUUUAGUUGUUGUUAAUUUGUGCUAAGUGGUUGAAUAUGUUAGCAAUCAUGUUUAUGAUAGUUGUAUAUUUAUUUUUCAUGUUGUUAUCACCGUUUGAUGGAUGAAAUUGGUGUUUGUUGGGCUAAAGUCGGCUACUGUUCAUUAGCCUUCUCUGCGUCUGUCUGAACACCGACGCAACUGCGCCGGUGCCAAGGCAAAAAACGACGCAGCUGCGCCGGUCCCAGGCUUAAGUAUGGCGCAGCUGUGCCAUACCCUGGUCUGAGACAGUGAAGUCUGCUUAUUUGCAGAUCAUGUGUAAUGGACUUAUAUUAGUUUAGCAUGCAUGUUAAUGAUGUUGAGGCAUAAUAUAAACUACAAUAACAGAUUGUCAUGCGUUGUUAUAUAAAGUGUAAAAGAAUUUAAGUGAUUACUUGAAUAAGUUUUGUAAUGAACCAAAUGUGACGUUUUCAAAAGUUAAAUAUAAAUGAUAAGGUUUAUAGUGUGAUUGCAGAAUUGUUAAGGUGUUAACCAACGUGGUUAGGUGCUAGGUUAGGGUUAUGACCUAAAUGUUGGUUUAAACCCUAAAAGCUAAUAUUCAUACAAUUAAUUGUUGUUGUGAUUUCAAUGAUAUGUGUAGGGUAAUUGGAGAUUAUCUUACAUUUGUGUAGCUUACAAAAAAGGCAAGUUUUCUAACUCUACCUUGUUAUUAUUGAGCAAGUUCUUAAAUCUUAACUCUUUACAUUGAGCAAAACUUUCUAACUUCAUUAUUUUCAUAUUAAAUGCAAGUUUCCAUUCCUAAAUUAUUAUUGUGCAAGUUCCUAACAUUCUUUAUGAAGUUGAGCAAGCUUAACCUAUCUUGCGUAUGUUUGUACAAGCUUAUAUAACCUAAUUCGUUACGUUGAGCGAGAUUUAGUUUCCUAAUUAUUAUUUAAAGCAUAUAUUGUUCUAAAACAUUGAUUCAAGGGAGAUUGUUUUAACUCUUCUAUAGCGCUUUGCAUGUAUAUCAUGUUUACUCAAUUAUAUAUUAUUGUUAUUCAAUAUUUGACUUUGAUAACCUUGUUCAAAGCUUUAUCGUUGUAUUAAACCUUCAAUUAGUAAGAAAACAUUUAUUAAUUGAAUUAAUCUAUAUUCGAAUAGUGUUCUAAAAUUCUAGAAACACUGAUAAGCUAGUUCCAAACUAAACUUUCUUUAGUGCGGAAAUUCUAAAUCCAAACUGAGACGAACAACCCUAACAUAGGGGAUUUUGUACGUGUAACAUUUAGAUGUUUGUACACAAUACAUGGUACAAAGGGCUGAUCCCCCUAAGUACGUUAAGAAGGGUCCGUAUAGUCUAAAUGACUGUUAAGGUUGGGUAAUAAUACCUAAGUACCGGGGACAUAGUCCAUGGUCUUAAGACCCUCAGAUAAUUAAAGUUCGAACUUUUUUUCUAGUUUGAUUUGUAGAACAAAUUCCUUAUUGUUCAGCUUUUGUUGUUCACUCUCAUGUUACUACCAUUGCUACUUUCUAUAUUAGUGAGCAUUUGUUUGCUCACUCUUGCAAUUAACACUGUAGCUAAAGUGGAGAAAGUUGAUGAGUCAUCGACUAGCAAAGGCAAGGGCAAGAUGUCCAAAUGAUGAAGACUUAUGAGAAUUUUAUUUUAAUGAAUUAUGUUAAAGACUUGUUUUAAUAUGUGAUGUAUUCCGCAAACUUAUGUAAUAAUUUUAAGGUUAGAUUAUCUGGGAUUUAUUUUGAGAUGAUGAUGUAACCCUUUAAUGGGGAAAAUUAUUGUUUAAGUUAUUUAAAAUUAUGUCUUUAUCCUUUAUUAUGGGUAGUUAGAUGUAAUAGUUUGUGAUAAGUGAGCACCAAAUCCUGUGGGAAUGGAGUACCUGGAUUUGGGGGUGUCACAAUCAAUAACUAUUUUAGGAAUUAAAAUUUUUAAAAAAUGCUCAAGGAAGCCUUCAUACAUGGGAGGCCAUGCAUUUAUGUUAUGAUAGAUAUCAUUUGACUUGAGAAUUAACCUUGGUUGACUCAAUAGACCCCAAAGAAGAACGAGAAUAUUACUAUCCUGUUCAUUCCAAUGGUGUGUAUCUUUUUGCCAUAUAAUUAUCUCCAUUGACUCAAACUGAGGAUUAUAUUCUAACCAUACUCCAAGAUUAUAUAGAUAAUGUUCAUAGAUAUAGUCAGCAAGUGGAUGCACACAACUAUAUCUUAUGAUAACACGGAUUUGUAUGUGGUUAAACAUCAUAUAUGAUAGUAUAUGAUAUAUGAUAUGUCCUCCCAGUAUAAUUAUGUCCUCCUCAUUAUAAUGGUGUGCAUUUUUGAUGCUUCAAAAGUCGGAUUCUCAUCACCUUAUUGUUGUUCACCAAAAUUAACUAUUAAAUGACGUAUAAAAUACGACACACACAUUUUAAGUCCUCAAUACAAUUAUAUAUUAUCAUGCUAUUUUAUAAUGUAUUGAGAAACUUCAACAGACACAGACUAUAACUCUAUUCCCCUGUUAUCCCUGCUCAAUCCAGCUACACUUUUAUUACCUGAAAGAAAUUGUGAAGCAAAAGGGUGAGCACAAAUAGACCAGUAAAGAAUAUUAUGACUAAAGAUAAUUAAAUUAUCAAUAGUCGUCAUCAGUAAUAAUAUAUAAAAUAUUUAGAACAUAUGGUAGAUGAUAAAAGUUUUCAAGCAUAAUUACAGCGGAAUCAACAAUCUAUUAGAAGAGUCAAGUAGAACAUAAUGUCUACUAUCUCCUCCAAAUUAAAAGUCCAUCAUUAAUAUUUCAUUCCUGUAAUACCCAUCAAUGGUUCUUUGUUGUACCCAAAACAAAGAGAACUUUUAUCACCUUUCUUCACCUGAACCACCAAAGAUUAUAGUUAAAAUCAUAAUUCAUGUUUAUAAUAAUGUAAAUCAAUAGUUUCUCCUUGCCACAAAGGGUUAAUAGAACUUUCACUCAAUGUUCUUGUCAUAAAGGCUAAAGACACUCAAUAAUCAUAUCGUCUUUACACCUUGCACUAAAGACAUUCAAUUGUAACAAUAAUUGUCAUGAUCAUACCAAUCAAUUAUCUAUCUUUGCACUACGUGCCAAAGAUAUUCAACUGUAAUAUCAGUGGUCAUGAUCAUACCAAUCAAUUGUCUAUCUUUGCACUACGGGCCAAAGAUGUUCAGCUGUAAAACUAAUAAUCAACAGUCCAUCUUUUCACUAUGAACCAAAGAUAUAUAACUGUAAAAUCAAUAAUCAACAGUCCAUCAUUGCACUACGGGCCAAAGAUAUACAACUGUAAAAUCAAUAAUCAAUAGUUUAUCUUUGCACUACGGGCCAAAGACAUAACCUUGUAAAUCCAAUAAUCAGCUGUUCAUCUUUGCACUACAGGCUAAAGACAUACAACUGCAACACCAAUGAUCAUGAUUAUACCAAUACACAAUUCCGUUCAUGGUUAUACCAAUACACAAUUCAUGUUCAUAAUCAUACCAAUCAAUAGUUCAUCUUUGUACUAUGGGCCAACGAUAACUUUCCAACAUAAAUUUAAGUCUGAGGAUGAUAACAAUGAUAUAAAGAAUGAAUCAAGUGAGAUCAAGAAUAAAUAUUAAAAAUUUAUAAUUCAAUUUAUCCAAAGUUCAGGAAUGUCCAAAUUGUUAACAUGAUAACUAAUUGUAGAGUAAAAUUCAAGAAUGAUAUUCAUGUAUCAAAAAUAAUUUGGACAGAAAAAAAUAAAUUUUGUCGUGAAUAGUACCCCGAAUAUUCAAUACACUCAUUAUUUUUUGAUGUACAUCAUAUAUUCUUGAUGUAGAAGAUCAACCACACUUUCACUCAAUAGAAAUAUUAAUCACCUGAGUCUCUCUGAAAUUUUCAACUACUCCAUGAGAGUACAUUGCAAGCAAAGGUUUUUAGCGAUUAAUUCCUAGUGAAUUAAGAGUUCAUUGCUUAAAAGGGUUGUUUCCUUGAGAGAUGAACACUGAAAACCUUUGCAAGCAAUGAACGCUCGGGGUUGGGAGUGUGGUCAACUUACAGAGUUAGAUCUAUGAGUCCCUAACAUCUCUAAUUGAAAUUUCUAAAUUAUCCGGUCCUUGUAUAUUUUUCGGUGGACAGUUUCUACCAAAACAAGACAAAGCUGAAAAAACCGAAAAACCCUACUGCCCUAAAAUUUUUGUGGGUUGUUUGGGCCACUUAAACAUUGAAAUAAAUUUAGGCCUUUUGGGAAAUGAAAAUAUAUGAUAUAAUGAAACUCUGGUCAGAAGAUGAACAAAUUCCUACAUCAGACGAAGGAGUUAUGACCAAUUCAAUAUUAGGAUUUUUCAGAUAAAAACUGUCAUAACUUGAGUUCUACAACUCUGAUGACCACAAAAUUAAAAAUGGAAAUUCAUGUUAAUAUGUAUAAAAUUCUUCCAAGACUUGGGAAUUUUUGGAGUUGAGCAUGAUAUAGUUCAUUUUACUAAGUUACGUACUAAAAUGGCUCUUUGAAAAAUAAGAAAAUUGAAAAAUUGUAAUACAAUUAUUUUUUUGUGGAAAAUAUAUAGGUAUGUGUGUCCAGGCAGAGAAAAAAAAUAAUAUAAUGGUUAAGGAGGCCUAAUGAAGAAAAUAAAGUUACGAGAAGGUAAAAUAAUUACUUACCGACAAGUCUGGAAUUAUUAAAAUAAUUUAUAUCGGCUAGAAUAUGUUGACAUUUGACGUAUGAGUUUAUGUAAAGGUUAAUCACAUAUUUUUAUGAGAAUCUUAUAAUUAUCACGUUUAUGUUUGUUUAAGUCGAAAGAUUAAUUAUCAGAAUAGGUUACGAUAAUUACCGGCGAUAUAUAAUUAUUAUAAAGUGAUGAUUAGUUUAAUCAUAUAAAUUGUCAUGAAUAAUGUAGCUUAUCAUUUGAAGGAAGUUAUCAUUGCGUUUCCACGGGGUAGAACCUCCUCAGGGGGGGGGGGAGACCCGGGGAAAUCCCCUGAGGGGCAUCCGGAGCGCCGGAGGAAAGAAGCGCAAGGGCGUGAAGCUUUCCGUGGACAGGACAGGGUCCGUCAACUAGCUUAGCUACCGAUUGGGGGAUGCUUUCACCUUGAAGGUAUUAACGGGCUUGAGCCAGGCCACGCAAGCAAAGGAAAGAUUAAUUAUAGNNNNNNNNNNNNNNNNNNNNNNNNNNNNNNNNNNNNNNNNNNNNNNNNNNNNNNNNNNNNNNNNNNNNNNNNNNNNNNNNNNNNNNNNNNNNNNNNNNNNUCUGCUCUUUCCGGUAAGUGAGUAGGGCCAGUCCCACACGAUUAGCAUAGAUAAGACAAGUCAGGUAGGAUUGGUCGGAGAAGGAUUGGACAUUUCCAUUGAUCAGCUCAUCCAAUCCAGUCUAUGAUCAGGCAAGGGGGCCUAAAAGUAGACGUAACUAUAGGCUUAAGCUCGCUUAAAUGCAAUUUAUCCUUAGGCCGAAUACCUAGUUGAGAGGGGUCCCUAAUGUGAGACCCUUCGUCCAUUCAUUCAGGAUCAAAAGCGGGCCUAAUUGAAUCAUCUCAUCGAGGAUUGCAUGUGAAAAGAUCGGAUCUUCGAAAUCCCCAAUCGUUCGUUACUGAACCUAAAAACUCGCCGCUUCUCAUGUAAAGUAGUGUUCUCGCUAGCUGGAACGGAACUCUCAAAUGGAGGAACAAGCGUAGGCCUUCUUUGAGUAUAGCUUCAAGUAGCUCUAAGAAGUUUACGUCUCGGUUCGGCACUCGGCUUUCUGAAGUUCUUCCAUUCCAGGGCGUGAAGCUUUCCGUGGACAGGACAGGGUCCGUCAACUAGCUUAGCUACCGAUUGGGGGAUGCUUUCACCUUGAAGGUAUUAACGGGCUUGAGCCAGGCCACGCAAGAAAAGGAAAGAUUAAUUCUAGGCCAGUGAAAUGAAUUAGAUGGAAAAACACCGAUACAGAUAAGUUUUUCAGAACUUUUUUUUAUGUGUAAACUUAUUAAUUGUUAUGGGGAAGUACUUUAUGUAUUAUAUGUAAUUCUUAUGAAUUGUUUAAGAGGUGCACUAUGUGUUUUAGUGUGAUACGAAUUUAUUGAAAUUAAUUGAUGAUUGAAGUUAGUUUAGUUAUGAAAACUUACUAUAUUGUGAUAUGAGGAAUAUGAUAUGUGAUGCCCCCAAAUUCGGGUACUUGAAACCCUUAUUUAGUGCUUCAUGAUAUCAAGUAUUCAACAUAAUAUAAUAUCAAACAUAAUAAAUUUAUUACAUCAGAGUACUUCUAAUCCCAGGUACGUAGACCUAUAAGUGCUUAUUACAUGAUAGUUAAAUAUUUACAACAUAUAUAAACUAUCUACUACAUAAUAUUCCAGUUAUGACAUAACUUUUCCCUUUCCCCUGUCCUUACUAGACCCCUCUGCCUGAGCCUUAUUAGCUGAAAACAUUUAUAAAAAAAAGUAAGAAUGAGCAUUCAAUUGCUCAAUAAGUAAUAACAUUCUUUAAUAGCUCAACAAUAAAUAAAUGUUUUCUUUGAAGCAUGCUUUGACAGUGAAACAAAUAUGUAAACCAAAUAAAUCUUAAAUUAUCCAUACUCUUGGAAUCAUCAUAUCAAUUUUGAAUAGCUGAGAGGUCAUAAGACCAUGAACAUGAAUUUUUUUUCUUGAAAAGGUUCUAUCAGAAAUUUAUAUAUGAACCGUCUUAUCUUAUGGGCAUGGUGGGUGAUCAGCCCUUUAUGCCCUGUAUUGAUCAAUAUUCUUAUCCAAAAUAAUUUUUAUGUUCAACGUCACCACUCCUAGAGUGAAAUAAAAAUAUCCCACAAUAUAGUUGGAUAGCUUAAAUCAUGGCACAAUAAUAUUUUAAGAAUUAUUAUAAAGAAAUUGAAAUAUUUUACAUCUGUGUUUGGCCAGAACAAAUGGCUCAGACUUCCUUGUAAUCUGUUCAUGCAUAUUGAAUUUCAUUUGAUAUACAUGAAAAUACAUAACCCAAUCUUUUGAAGCUGAUUGGAAUAAAAAGGUUAUUUAACCUUGUAUUAUUCAUAAAGAAUGAGAGACAGUUCAAAAUUUAGAGAACAUAUCCAUAUAUGAAUAAUCCCAGAAUACUUGUGUUAGUUCCCAGUAGGCGCGAUAAAUAUCUAGAAGGGGGGGUUGAAUAGAUAAUUAAAUCUUUUUCUUUUAAUCUUUUUAAGUUGAUGGUAUUCAAUGCACAGCGGAAUGAGUAUAUGUGAAAAACCUUCUGUUAUAUAUCUUAAGUUAAUGAGAUUGAGGCAGUUAUGACAGUUAUAGCAGAUAUUGCAGUUAUAGCAGUUAGUGAACACAAUAGUUGUAAGUGGUUCAGAGCACUAAAAGCUCAUAGUCCACUCUUUUACUCCUUGAGUAGGAAAUCCACUAAGGAUGUCUGUUACACUUCUUGAAUCUCACAGAUUCUUUCUAGACCAGCAGUCUAGGUACUUCUUAGUUCACUCUUGAACUCUUCAAGUCCAGCAGACUUGGUCUCUCAUAGUUCACUUAGAACUCUUCAAGUCCUUCAGACCUGGAACUCUUACUUCAGUUGAUUGAAUGUUGUUUAGAUCGUGAUUGAUGCUAUUCAGUUUCUAGUAAGCACUUGUUUGAAAGAACUGAAUAGCUGAGCAAGCUUCCUUUUUCUCAGAUCGUAGAGUUGAGCGUUGAGUGUUCUUAUGCAUUUUUUUUGUUUAAUACUUGCUUCUUCUUUCUUAUCUGUCUUUGAUCUGUAUAUAUGUGAUCUUGAAAUCUAUCCGUUGAAGUCAUCUGAUGAGCCAUUAAAUGCAUUUGACAUUUCUGAGCUUUGAUGGAGACUUUUUUGCACAUCUUCUGAAUUACACUCUAGCCCACUGACACAGUAGACUGCUUUUUCCCCUAACACCUUAAAAGGUGUUUUCCUCUGCCCAAUGGUCCUUUUCUUAGCUUAUUGAGUACGUUUCUUUUGAUCAAUACUAAGGAUAUCUUUUGUACGUUGGGACUGGUGAGAGCUUCAACGUUCAAAACCCAUUCCAUAUUUGUUGGAGUCCAUCUUCAGAUGAACGAUAGGGCUUGAUGUUUCUGACACAAAACAGAUGACACUCUACUAUCAAUAUCAUAGUGUCUUCUCAUAUUGGUGCCUGUUCGUAAGAGAUCACUACGAUUUCUCACAAGGAUUUUCACACUAUGUUCUUCACUUACUCGUCUUGCAAACUCUACAUUUUCGAGAGCACACUACGAUAUUUUAACACUACGAUCUUCACUUGCUCGUCUUGCAGAUUCUGCAUUUUCGAGAGCACACUACGAUCUCUAGUUUCGGCAAAAGUCUGGACCACACUUCGAUUCGUGGAGAGGCCCUUCAAGGCAGAUACACUACGAUCAUCUCAGCACUACGAUCCUGCCUUAGCUUCUGCAUUCUAUUGAUCAACCGGAUAGACUGCGAGUCUAUCUAUUUCUUUCUAGCCAUAGAUCAACCUAACAGAUUUGAUCUCUUUAUCUAUACAAGUGAACAUUAAAGACUAAGAUCAACCUAACACUUUUGAUCUAUCACUAAGUCCUUGUACAUAUAUUCUUUGAAGGACUUUACAUAAUCAUGAGUAGUUUCAUAAAACAUCAAAUCACAAUAUGCAUUCUUCCAACAAUCUCCCCCUAUUUGAUGUUGACAUAACCAAGGAGAUUUGUUGUCAUGAUUAUAAAGUUUUAUAUGCAGUUGCAGAAAAAUAAACAUGACUUAGCAUUUCAGUGAGCAGCUGAAAUUUUUAAAGAAUAAGCAUGAAUUUAUUGAUGUAUGGAGACAAAUUUUACAUUUAAGAAUGACUACAUCAAUACAAUUUGAAAUUCAACUUAUCUCUAUUUCUUUGGCCUUUUGCUUCUUGGAGGAUUUGCAUAUUCCUCAGCUCUCCUCUUUCUGCUUGCUUCAUCUCUUCUGGCCAUAUCUUCCAGCUCACUUGGGCUUAGCCUUGGAUUGUGAUCAUGUCUAUUCAUGAAUGCAGGAUCUCUAAUUGGCAUUCUUAGACCUGUUGUUGUUACCGUAUGAGAGCUGGUGGCUGGCCCUAGACUCCUUAAGGGUUGAGCCAUUAAUAUUUCCUGCUGAUCAGAUCAUUGAGUCUGAUGGCUGGAUUGUGGAGUCUGCUGGUGGAUUUUCCUUACAGAAGGAUUCCUUGAGGAUUGAGGUUGGAGACCUCUACCUUUUCCUUUGCCUCCUGAUCUCCUCCUUUACCUUUAUUCUCCCCCUUUAUGUCAACAUCAAGGGUUCGAAUGUCAUCUGAAAGACGAUUAAGGCCUUGAACAAGCUCGUUGAGCUGACUCUUGGUCUGAGCAAUGUCUUCUCUAUUUUCUUUGAUUAGAGCUUCAGACCUAGCUUCCCUUUGCUGAAGGAUGGAGAGAAUGUUGUCUGUUUGCUCGCCAUUGCUGACAUAGAAUUGUUGAAAUUCUUUGACAGCAGUCUGAAGAUUUUGGAUGCUUUGUAUCAUUAGUUGGUUCUGAGAUUCUUGAGUUUUCUAUAGAAUCAAGACAACAUCCCGAUGUCUUUUAGCUGUGAGGAAGUGAAUAUCAUCCCUGUCCUUUAUGCUUUGUAGCAUUUCUUUGAUAAUCUCUUUGAGUGUUUUAGACAGUUCGGAGCUCAGGGAGCUUGGAAGAUUGUUUGCAGCAUUGAUCAUUGAUGUCAAUCUUAGCUGUAUCAAUGCAGUAUGAUCUUCAAGGCUCUCAUCUAGUUUUUUGAUCACUUUCUCAGACAUGGCUGACAAAUCAGCCUUUGUGGAUAGUUCUGAUAGGAAUUCAUCUAGAUUUGGAAUCUGUGAGGGAGGUGGCGUGCUCUUGAAUUUAUAUUGCAGUGAGUAGAGAGAAAGUUCAAGAUUGAAGCAUUCAUUUCUAGAUGAGGAGGGAAUAUCUGAAGGAGGGGCCUGUGUUUGGAUGUUGGAGCUUAGUGACUCUACGAUUUGUGGUGGAUACUCUACCAGGGGUCUAGAGUGAGGGAUCGUAGAGGUAGUAGGCUGAGUGAGCAUUAGGGAGUUAAUCUUAUUUGGUUCCUCAGUUACAGAAUUUUGAGAUUCUGUAACUAGAAUUGAUUCAGUUGAUGAAGAAUUACUUCCAACCAUUGCGGGAAUUCAUAGAAUUGAUUAAAUGAGGGUGGUGGCAAGUGAUUAAUUCUGACAGGAGUGGGGAUAUAUAAUACCUCAAGUGUGUUCUCUGAGGAAGGGCUGUUGGAGAGAAGCUUCUUGGCAAAAUUGAAUUUCCCUGGGAAUCCAUUUGCAAGUACUGAGAUAGCUGGAUACUCUUUGAAACUCCAGAACAUGUGAUCCCAAGAGUUCAGAAUUUGAGCUCGGUGGAAAGGCAUCAUAGGAAGAUAUGCAAAUAGUUGCUCAUAGGUGGAUCUUCUGUGCCCAUGAAUGCCUACAGCUAUAAUCUCAAUCUCAUCAUCUUCUUCUCUGUUUUCACUAGAGGAUUCCAUUAUGUCGAUUGCUUUAGGUUCUUCAUUAUCUCCUCCAGGAAUUUCUUUUUCAGCUAUUGAGGUGUCAUGAUCCUCCCCCUCAGCUUGAUCAUUCUUUUGAAAUGUCAAUAGCUCCCCCUCAACUGGAGCAUCCUCUGGUGGAAGAUCUUUAGGCAUCUCCCCCUCAGUAUGAGCACCUUCUAUCAUUAGAUCUUUAGGUGUCUCUCCCUCAGCAGGAGCCAUGACUACUUGACAUUCACUUGCUGGUUCCUUUUUAGCACUCAGUUCUUUUGCUUCCCUUCUUAGCACUUCUUCAUUGGCAAGAAUAUACUUCUUAACUAGUUUCCUUCUUGGCCUUUUAGGCUGUGCUACAGCCUCAGGACUCUCUUUAGUUGUGUCCUUCAGAUCAGCUAAGAUAUUUGAUGCAGUUGCUUCCUUGUUUGGUCUAGGCUCUACGAUCGGAGGAGACUUGACGAUCGAAGAGACUUGACGAUCGAAGAGGCUGAUGGCUUUUUACUUUUGUGGCUGGUCUUACUCAUCUUCAGCAACUGAGAUAUAGUUGCUCUAUCUUCUUCUGCCUCUGCUUGCUGUUCCUUUCUCCUUAGGAUCCUUAGAGUCUCAAUUUCUGAGGACUCUACAGGCUUGUUGGUGGUGGAUCCUUGAGGUUCUUCUGUAGUUCUGGCUUUCCUUUUCCCUUUGCUCUUUCUGAUUAAAGCAAUGGGUUCUCCCUGGUUAGUUUCUUCUUCUUCUUCCUCAGUUUCCUUGACAACAGACAUAUUCUCUGGCACUCCUGUUCCUUUUAUCUCACCAGUUCGACCACUGGAUUCAGACAUCAACUUCACAUUUUCAGCUGGAUUUCUCUUCCAGUUUUCAAACAACUGUUGGGUCAUUCGUCGAUUUGGGUUUAUGGCUUCUCCUUCAUCAUCCUCAAUCAGGUCACCAAGAGUAGCCUAUAGGAUAAUGAUGAUAAAUCGUCCGUAGAGCAUCUUCUGAGAGCUCUUUGUCUUCUUGGAGCUAACCAACCAUUUUCUAAUCCAUUCAAGUAAUAAAGCCCCAUAGUUUAGUUAAAUUUUAUAGCAUAUGGAAGUCAUGAGUUUGAGUUGUAUUUCAUUCACAGAGUCAUGACCUGAGCUUUUACAACAUAUGCAUUUUCCAACAAUGUUAGCCAAAAACUCAUACCUCUAUGGAAACUCCUUCUUUUUGUAUCCUUUGACAGAGGGUGAUUUCUUGUGAUGCAUUUUCUUGAGACCUUUAUGGAAGUCUAUUCCAUCUAAGGAUGGAUACCCUUCAGAUUUGAGCCCUAGGGCUAGAUUGAUGUCUUCAGCUCUUAAUUUGAUUUGGACGUUCCUUACUUUCAUGGUGAUGGUGUUGUUUUCAAACACUCCGUUAUUUUAGAAUUCUUUUACCAGCUUUGGGUAGAUCAAUGUGUCAGUACCCAAGGCUUCUUCGAGACCUGCCUUCUUUAGUAGCGACAAUGUCUUGUGAAAUUGGGGUUCAACCAUUUUAAACUCGUCGAAACACAGUCUGUAGCAGGAGACAACACUAGAAGCUGCCAUUGAUUUCUUUGUAGGAAGUGAGGCUGACAGAGCUUGCUACUGAUUUAGGGUUUCUGCUUGAGAGAGGAAGAGAGAGAUGGUCUUUUGAACUUCAUAUUUCAAAAAGGCGAUUUUAAUUUGUACCUGAAACUUCCCUCUCUUUAUUUUGCUUAGUGGGACAGGUGUCAAACUUUGCUUGGCUGUACGAAUUCUUGACAGAGAAGGAUUGUACUGAAUUGCCCUUAACUUCUUCUGGGAUGAUGUAUUCAUUAGUGGGACUACGAUCGUUGAGAUGGUCCUUGGAGUCGUCGAGUCUGUUCUACCAUCGUUGAGUCUGUGUAGCAGUCGUCGUGUCUGAGCUGUAAACGUAGAGUCUGAACUACGAUCAUUGAGUCUGACUGGCAAUCGCAGAGUUUGAAAAAGUCCUUGUGAUGAAUCUUUUUGACUUGGCAUUUUCCUUAAAUUAAGGUAGCUCAGGAAGGGCCAACCUCUUGAAAGAAACAAGGGUUAGGUUUGUUCCUGAGGAACUUAUCAGAGAGAAUGCUUUGAUUUAAUCUUGAUCAUCAUAGGGAGCUCCUUUUGUUUUGUUGAUGUAGUUCUAUUAUCGUUGAGUCUGCACUAUGAUCGUUGAUUCUGUUCAGCAUUCGUUGAGUUUUAUAUACUUUGGCUCUACGAUCGUGGACUUCCUUUGAUCAUGUCUUUUAUUUCAAAUACAACCUUUAAAUCUAUAUGGUUAGCAUAAAAUAAAGCAUAAUAUUUCAUGUUUGCAAGUUAAGCAUGCCUAGCUCACUUAUCAGUUUGUUGAAUCUGGAUUCAUCUAAAGGUUUUGUAAAAACAUCAGCAAGUUGAUUUUCAGUAGGGAUAUAUUGUAAAGAUAUUGUUCCAUUUUGUACAUGAUCCCUAAUGAAGUGAUACCUUAUUUCUAUAUGCUUAGUCCUAGAAUGCAUGACAGGAUUAUGAGUUAUAACAAUUGCACUUGUGUUAUCAUAAUGAAUAGGUAUGGAUUUGAAUUCAAACCCAUAAUCUGCUAGCUGAUUUUUUAUCCAUAGAAUCUGCGCACAGCAACUACCAGUAGCAAUGUAUUCAGCUUCUGCAGUUGAGGUAGAUACUGAGUUUUGCUUCUUGCUAAACCAGGACACAAGUCUGUUACCUAGUAAUUGACAAGUGCCACUGGUACUUUUUCUAUCUAUUUUGUAGCCUGCAAAAUCAGCAUCUGUAUAACCUGUUAGCUCAAAUGAGGAUUCCUUGGGAUACCAAAGCCCCAAGUGGGGUGUACCUUUGAGGUACCUGAAAAUCCUCUUUACAGUAGUUAAAUGAGAUUCUUUAGGACAUGCCUAAAAUCUAGCACAAAUGCAUGUUGCAAAUAUUAUAUCUGGUCUACUGGCAGUAAGAUAUAAAAGAGAACCUAUCAUACCUCUGUAUUGAGUUAUAUCAAUACUUUUACCUUUUUCAUCUUUGUUAAGCUUGGUUGCAGGAGCAAUUGGGGUUUUCAUGGGAGAGGCUGAUUCCAUACCGUACUUCUUGAGUAAGUCUUUAAUGUACUUGGCUUGGUUUAUGAAAAUUCCUUCAUCAGUCUGCUUUACUUGCAGUCCAAGAAAGAAGUUUAGCUUACCCAUCAUGCUCAUUUCGAAUUUGCUCUGCAUAAGCUUGGAGAAUCUCUUGCAUAACUUUUCAUUAGUAGAACCAAAGAUAAUAUCAUCAACAUAAAUUUGAACUAAUAGGACCUUAUCUUUAUGCUUUCUAAGAAAUAGUGUGGUAUCUAAUUUACCUCUAGUAAAUCCAUUUUCAAUAAGAAAGUUAGUCAGUGUUUCAUACCAUGCUCUAGGUGCUUGUUUGAGACCAUAUAAGGCUUUGUCUAAUCUAAAGACAUAAUUAGAAAGAAAUGGAUUGAUGAAACCUAGAGGCUUCUCUACAUUGACUUCUUCUUGAAGUUCACCAUUCAAGAAUGCACUUUUGACAUCCAUCUGAAAGACUUUGAACUUCAUGUGAGCAGCAAAGGCAAGGAAUAUUCUGAUGGCUUCUAGUCUGGCAAUAGGUGCAAAUGUCUCAUCAUAGUCAAUACCUUCUUUCUGAGAGUAGCCCUUGGCUACUAGUCUAGCCUUAUUCCUUGUUAUCACCCCAUCUUCAUCCAUCUUGUUUCUGAAGACCCACUUGGUUCCAAUUACAUGAUGGUUCUUUGGUCUUGGGACCAAUUUCCAAACUUUGCUUCUCUCGAACUGAUUAAGUUCUUCCUACAUGGCCUCUAUCCAGCUGGAAUCUUCCAUAGCAUCCUCUAUCUUCUUUGGUUCUAUUUGAGAUAGGAAGCUUAGAUAGAAGCAUUCAUUUUGAGUAGCAACUCUUGUCUUGAUUCUUGCGUUCGGAUCUCUAAUGAUUAGAUCUUGAGUGUGAUCUCUUGCCCAUCUGCUUCCUGUUGGAACAUCCAUUUUUAUGCCUUCUUGUCUCAGAUCUUCAAGAUUUAUUUCUUCUUCUUGAUGUGGAGGUUCAUUGUCUGGCAUAGGCCUCUCUACGAUCUCAUUCUCUUGCUUAACGAUUUCAUUAUUGGGCACUACGAUCAUAGUAUUGGGCUCGACGACCUCGUUCGCAUUGUCUUGGAGCACUAUUUUGUCUAAGUCUGUUUCAUCAAAGAUGAUGUGAAUUGAGACUUCUACACUCAGUGUCUUCUUGUUGAACACUCUGUAGGCAUUGCUGUCUGUGGCAUAUCCAAGAAAGAUUCCUUCGUCUGAUUUCGGUUGAAACUUUGUCAAGUACUUCUUUCCAUUGUUGAGUAUAUAGCAUGCACAGCCGAACACAUGAAAGUAGCUGACAUUUGGCUUUCUUCCUUUCCAAAGUUUAUAAGGAGUCUUCUUCAUCGUAGAGAGUAUGAGUGAUCUGUUCUGAGUAUAACAUGUAGUGUUGACCGCUUCUGCCCAGAAGUACUCCGGUAGAUGAGCUGCAGCUAGUAGAGUCCUUCCAGCCUCUAUUAAUGUCCUGUUCUUUCUCUCAGCAACUCGAUUUUGUUGGGGAGUUCAUGGAACUGAGAAGUUGUGACUAAUCCCAUUGUUUGUGCAGAACUGAUCCAUUUUUGAGAAAUCGAAUUCUCUGCCAUGAUCACUUCUUAUGUUCUUGAUUUUCUCUCCUUUCUCAUUCAUCACCAGCUUGAACAUCUUGAUUAGUUGGGGGCUUGUUUCAUUUUUUGAGGUUAGAAAAAAUACCCAUGUAAAUGUGGUGUAGUCGUCGACUACGACCAGUGAGUAUCUCUUUCCCCCAUGGCUCAUCAUUGGAAUUGAUCCAAAAAGAUCCAUAUGUAGUAAUUACAGAGGCUUGUCAAUUGAGUUGAUGGUUUUUCUCUUAAAUAAGCUUCUGGUCUGUUUCCUAAGUUGACAGGCAUUGCAGGGCCUUUCUUUAACGAAGUUGAAUUUGGGUAGGCCUGCAACUAGAUCUUUUGAAGCUAAUUUGGACAUGCUUUUGAAGUUGAGAUGAGAUAAUCUUCAAUGCCAUAGCCAGCUCAUUUCUUCAGAUGCUUUAGUCAUAAAGCAUAUUGUCUCGUCUGAGCUUAGUUGUCCAAGAUUUACUGUGUAGACAUUUCCUUCUCUUGUUCCGGUUAGCUUUACUGCAGAUGUCUUCAGGUCUCGGACUUGACAUUGAUUGUUGAUGAAUGUUACUUGAUGACCCUUGUCAUAGAGUUGGCUAAUGCUUGGAAGGUUGUGCUGUAGUCCUUCCACAUAGGCCAAUUUACUGAAUGAUACUGCACCAUUUUCGGCUGAGCCAUAGCCUCUUGUCUUGCCAGUGCCAUUAUCUCCAAAUAUGACUGAGGGACCUUCCUUCUCUAUGAAGUUAGACAGAAGGGCUUUGUUCCCAGUCAUGUGCCUUGAACAUCCACUAUCCAGAUACCAGGUUGUGUUUGUGGAGCUCCUUUCCUGAGGUAACAUUAAGCCUUCAUUUUGGUACCCAUAUUUGCAUGGGUCCUACUAUGUUAGUACCCUUGGGGACCCAAAUCUGCUUUAUUUUGGGUCUCACGUGCAUGGAAUUAUAAUGAUAAUUCGCAGCCUUAUGACCAACUUUGUGGCAUUCAAAGCAUUUGAUAUGAUGCAUGUAAGUGUGUUUGUGAAAGUUCUUCCUCCAUUUGGACUUUUGUGGGUUAUUGGUCAUCCUUCUACUAGGUUGAUAUCCCCUUUUCCAUGUGUUCUCUUGUUUCAUUAAUUGAGGAGAGUAUAUCUCACUUCUACUGUGUCUUCCUGGUUGGUUCGUAGAGUUGAUUUUAUUGGACUCUACGAUCCUUCGAGGUUGAUAAGUAGUAGCUAGAUUACUUCUCUUUUCUGAAACCUAGACCAGCAUGAGAUCCCUUACUCUUGGGAAUAUGAAUUGAAUUAUCCAGACAGGGUUUGACAAGCUCAUCAUUCUGUGAGGAUUUCACAAAUAUAAUGCCUUUACUAAAACCUGAGGCAUUACUAGUGUUAACAUCCUUUGUUUUUUCCACACAUGACUCUGAGAUAGAUCCCCCAAAGCCUAGCCAUGUUCUAUCAGAGACAUUUCUCUGAUUAGAGAUUAAAGAAUCCAUGAUUGAAGAAGAUUUAUUCUAUGUGGAGAUGGUCUUUUUUAGAUCCUCAAUUUUUGAGGUUAGACUAGACUCUUGUUUUGCACUAAGCUCAUUUGUUUAUCUUAAGAGCUUAUUCUCAGCUUCAAGCUCAGAGAAAGAAUUAGCACUGAGAAGGGUUGUUUCCAGUUCUUCUUGAACCUUUUCUUUCUCCUUUUUAAGAAGUGAAUAAUCCUUAGACAGAACUCUAAACCACUUCAUGUAUUGGUGUAGAUCAGAUGUUAUGCCAUGCAAUGUAGUUCUAAGAUCAUCAAUAUCUACAUCAGGAGAGUUAAAGUCAAAUACCUCAUCGAUACUUACUUCGUGUAUGUUAGAGUUCUGUUUGUCCCUUGCAUUUUUGACCAUCAAGCAGAGAUUUGCUAUUUGAGGGUCUUCAUCAUCCCCAGAUUCAGGAGUUGAGUCAUUGUCUAAGUCACUCCACGAUCCUCCAGCUACAAGACCUUUUUCUUUCUUCUGUGGCCCUUUGUUGCCUCUGUAUUCUUUCUUUGAAUGAGAUUUCUUCUUGAGUUCUUCUCUAAGAGGUUUGUUACAAUUUGCAAUAAAGUGGCCUGAUUUCUUGUAAUUGUAGCAUAGGUCAUUCAUUUGCUCCUGGCUGCUGUAGUUGCUGACUUUCUUUGGCUUGUUGGUUUUGCCUCGUCGCAUGAACCUUCUUAGCCUUUUCACUAGCAUUACAAGGUCCUCAUCAUCAUCUUCAUCAUAAUCAGAAUCAACUUCAGUGCUGACUUUGGAGGCGUUAUCUGUUGCUUUAAGGGCUACACCUUUAUCCUUCUGCCUACCUUCAGAUAAGGUUUCUGCUCGUUGAGUCAGCUCCAGUUCAUAUGUGAGAAGGUUGCCAUACAACUGUUGAACAGUCAUUUCAUGUAGAUUUUUGGAUUCUCUAAUGGCAGUGGUUUUGGCAUCCCACUUGCUUGGUAAGGCUCUCAUGAACUUUAUGAUUAGAUCUUUGUUAGGAUAGAUCUUCCCAUAGGCUCGUAGAGAGUUGAGCAGUACAUUAAAUCUUUCGUAAGUGGCAGUAACGUUCUCUCCUUGAACGUGAGCGAACAUCUCAUAUUGCUGAGUCAAGAGAGAUUGUUUGUUUUCUCUGACUUCUUCUGUUCCUUCAUGCAUGAUGAGCAGUGUUUCCCAAACCUCCUUCACUAUUUUGCUGCUGACCACAUUUUUGAACAGAUCAUCUUUUAAAGAUUGGAACAAGAUGUUUUUGGCCUUUUUCUCGAGCUGGAUAGCUCUCUUCUCGUUCUCUGUCCAUUCUUCCUUGACCUUGAUCUGUACUCUGUUUGGGUCAUCUGUAGUUGGUGCAAGCUUUGUAGGAACAUAGGGUCCAUUCUGAACAGUUUCAAAUAGAUCUUCAUCUAUUUCAUCUAUGUAAGCUUGUAUCCUAACCUUCCAGUUAGCAAAUUUUUCUUUGUUGCACAUUGGUGGCUUGCUGCCUCCUCCAGUCUUUGAUUCGCUUGGUAAGUGUGCCAUUGGAUCUACUUAAGCUUUGUAGGUUGUAUUAUAGAACCUUCUUUGAUACCAAUUGUUAGUUCCCAGUAGGCACGAUAGAUAUCUAGAAGGGGGGUUGAAUAGAUAAUUAAAACUUUUCUUUUAAUCUUUUUAAGUUGAUGGCAAUCAAUGCACAGUGGAAUGAGUAUAUGUGAAAAACCUUCUGUUAUAUAUCUUGAGUUAAUGAGAUUAAGACAGUUAUGACAGUUAUAGCAAAUAUUGCAGUUAUAGCAGUUAAUGAACACAAUAGUUUUAAGUGGUUCAGAGCACUAAAAGCUCCUAGUCCACUCUUCUACCCCGUGAGUAGGAAAUCCACUAAGUAUGUCUGUUACACUUCUUGAAUCUCACAGAUUCCUUCUAGACCAGCAGUCUAGAUACUUCUUAGUUCACUCUUGAACUCUUCAAGUCCAGUAGACUUGGUUUCUCACAGUUCACUUAGAACUCUUCAAGUCCUUCAGACCUGGAACUCUUACUUCAGUUGAUUGAAUGUUGUUUAGAUCGUGAUUGAUGCUAUUCAGUUUCUAGUAAGCACUUGUUCGAAAGAACUGAAUAGCUGAGCAAGCUUUUCCUUUUUCUCAGAUCGUAGAGUUGAGUGUUGAGUGUUCUUAUGCGUUUUUUUCGUUCAAUACUUGCUUCUUCUUUCUCAUCUGUCUUUGAUCUGUAUAUAUAUGAUCUUGAAAUCUAUCUGUUGAAGUCAUCUGAUGAGCCAUUAAAUGUGUUUGACAUUUUUGAACUUUGAUGGAAACUUUUCUGCACAUCUUCUGAAUUACACUCUGGCCCACUGACACAGCAGACUGCUUUCUCACCUAACACCUCAAAAGGUGUUUUCCUCUGCCCAAUGGUCCUUUUCUUAGCUUCUUGAGUACAUUUCUUUUGAUCAAUACUAAGGAUAUCUUUUGUACGUUGGGACUGGUGAGAGCUUCAAUGUUCAAAACCCAUUCCAUAUUUGUUGGAGUCCAUCUUCAGAUGAACGAUAGGGCUUGAUGUUUCUGACACAAAGCAGAUGACACUCUACUAUCAAUAUCAUAAUGUCUUGUCAUAUUGGUGCCUGUUCGUAAGAGAUCACUACGAUUUCUCACAAGGAUUUGCACACUACGUUCUUCACUUGCUCGUCUUGUAAACUCUACAUUUCCGAGAGCACACUAAAAUAUUUUAACACUACGAUCUUCACUUGCUCGUCUUGCAGAUUCUGUGUUUCCGAGAGCACACUACGAUCUCUGAGUUAGUUUCGGCAAAAGUCUGGACCACACCUCAAUUCGU